AUUUGUAACUAGGAAUUAGAUUUGAUUUUCAUCUACAGUGUUGCAUGAUUGUGUGCGUGUGUGGUGCAUGCAGUGUUUAUGAAUCAUGACGCUGCUCCGAAUGCAUCACAGGUUAAGCGUCCAGGUUAAUUAAAUUAUGAAUCAUACACGUUAUAUAGUUCACCAUGGUGCAAUUCAGCAAAGUGUCACGUACAUAUUUCAAAAAACAUUGCAUACGUACUAUUACGUGUACUCCCUCCAUUCCAAACUAUAGGUCGUUUUGAUUUUUCUAGGUUCAUAGAUAUUAUUAUCUAGAUAUAAUGUAUGUUUAGAUGUAUAAUAAUACCUAUGAACCGUCAAAACGACCUACAAUUUGGAACGGAGGGAGAGAUUUAUUUAAAAAGUUCAAAUUACAUUAUUUUGCUUUCACGAAAAAGUGACUGCUUCCCUAGUGUACCGCCAGGCUAACAUGUCACGUAAUUUUUUUUGUCAUGCUAACAUGUUGACGUUGGAUUACUAGGGAAAAGUAGUCACUUUUUUUUGCAAGUUGUCGCACACGUUAGAUGAUUAGAUCCCGUUAAGUUAGUUAGAUCUAAUAGGUAGAUUUUCCCUAUUUAUUCUAUUUUUCCAAAAUAAGAAUAUAAAAACAAAUAUGAUAAUUAUAUACUGAUCUGUUAAAUGGACGGUCCACGUUCAUUUCGGAGUACUUUAGCAAUUCCCAGUAUUGUUCGCAUCGAUAUUGUAAACCAACUUCACUAAGCAAUAAUGCAAAAUUAUUCAAUAAUCCUAAGUCAACCACUUGAGAUGUCAAUAGAUGCUAUAAUAAUCACCAUACCGCCUUUUAAUUUCCACACAGUUUUCUUCAUGAUGCGACCAUUGGUACAGACAAUCUGAAUUGCUGAAGCCGACCUGAGAACAUGGCCUAUCACUACAAACAAAGUACAAGAUGUGAUUUCAAAGUUACGAUUGGAUCAACACAUAAGUAGGACCAAGUAAGUUAUGUCUCUCUCAACUCGGUACCAGUGUGCUGUCUUCACUUGCUUAAUCAUUUCUUAAGGAUUACGAAGUGGCACCUAUACCAUGUCUUGGACAUGGCCAGCCAUUAUAAACAAAAUUGACAACAAAAAGAAUUUUAAGAUCGACUUAAUUUAUGAUUGGAUUGACAUAUAAUAAUAACCUACCGAGUCUUUUGUUUCUCAAGUCCUUGUUUGACCACAACUAUUUUUCAUAUAUAAUGCUAAUUUCUAACUAUGAAUUGGGAGAGCCCGGAAGAGAAUCGCUUAGACAAUGCACAUAAUAAAAAACUGGUCUCUCUUCAGUUGCUUACUUCUAUAUUAGAUUAUGAUAACGGCAUCCUGAAGCACCUAGGUCCCUCUCCCACCUUUGGUACUUUGGUAAGGGUGUGUUUUGAUGAUAAAUGAUACUCUUAUACUUGUGACUGACCCGUGUGUUUUGAAGUGGACCCUCAAUUGAAUUAAAGCGGACCCUCAAUUGAAUUAUCAAGCAGACUAAAAGUCUAAUGCGACAAAGGCUAAGGACUCUUCUAGAACCAAGUAUCACAAGGAGAUGAAGGAUACUUGGUGUAGUAUAGGGUUUGUUAUUUUUCUAACUCUUGGACCGUACUAUUAAGAGGGGUUUCAAUGAUAGUAUCUUGACCAUACAAGGCUAGCCAUGAAAAUGAUGCACACUCAGUAUACUCUGGCACUUGGUAGCUCAAAUAACUCAUGGAAGUACUCAAGAAGCGAAGAAAUUGACAAAAAAAUAAAAGGAAUUUGAAUUGGAUGAGUUAUAAAGAUAAGGGGACCGUCGGAUGUUCCGAUGCCCUAUUUUUUAGUUGCAUCGGAUGAAUUUUUCAAGACUGGAAUCUCUGGAGGGAGGCAUCACUUGUUCCGAUGCUACCAUCGGAUAAAUUGGUAGAGACCAUUGGAAAAAGCAUAUUUACAAUUCCAACUUCCAGAGAGGUUUUGGGUUUUGGGCCUUCAGCACCGGUUGAUCUAACGCCUUGCGUAUGACUAUCGGAUGAAUGCGUCGGAGCAAGCAUAUUUUCAAUUGAAACUUACAGAGAGGUUUACAGAGAGGUUUUGGCCAAACUCUUCAGCACCGGAUGAUCCGAUGCUCAGCUCAAGACCGACGGAGCAAUUAUCGGAUAUACUUUUCUAACGGUCACAAUCUAGACUUGUGUGCGGCCGGAUGUUCCGAUGUCCUGGGGAUGGAAACCAUCGGAUCAUCCGAUGGUGUGCUUUUUUGUGUACACUUUUCCAACGGCUAGAUAGUGUUGCCUAGCCUAUUUAUACCCAUUUGCCAGGUCAUUUAAGCUGCUCUUGACACCCUAAAGACUUCAAGCAGCUCAUGAGCAAGUGAAAGUGUGCUAGAGCCAAAAGUGAUUUGUAAUUUGCAAGAUUAAGGACUUCUCUUAGUACUUGAGAGUGAUAAGUGUGCAUCUAGUUCGUGGCUGAGCUUAGUGCUGGUCAAGCGAAGCAUUGAGGCUUAUUACUCUUGGUGGUUGACGUCACCUAGACGGUCUUGGUGAUUUGGAGGUUCUUGGUAAGCUCUUGGAGAUUGUGGGAGCCCCAAGAGGAAGAUCUUGUACAUGGUUUGAAGUCCGCCGUUCUAGAGAUGAAGAAGGGACAUUCUUAGUGAGCACUCAAGUUUUGGUGGCUUCAGGGGGAGCAAAACCUUUAGUGGGGGCUCCAACGUGGAUUAGGGGGAGCGUGAACUCCUCGAUACCAUGGGAAAAAAUCCGGUUGUCUUGAGUCCUCUCUCUUUAUAUUUCAGCACUUCGUUUGAAUAGUUACUUCCUGCAAUUUACUUGUUGUUUUGCUCUUGUUCUUGUUGUGUUUGUUUUGCUCACAUCUUGCCUACGUUGCAAUAUAUAUCUUAGUGUGCUCAUUGCUAAAUUUUAUCCUUGAUAGUGUGUUUAGUUCAUUGGUUUGAACCUUGUAGUUGGGCAUCACUAGUUAUCUAGGUUAAUGUUUGUUUUUCUCGUUCUAGAAAUUAAAAAAAAAAGUCCCAAUUCAACCUUCUUCUUGGGCCACCGAUCCUUACACAUCCGUACUGCAAUUGUUUUUUUUCCUCUAACUAACUCGACCAUCCGACCAUUGUUACAUUGCUUUCACAAGAAAAAGAAAGGUCGAAAGCACUCUUAUCGAACUUCUGAAACUUAACCCUUAAGCUCUAGUAGUCCAUAGCACAAAAAGCUACAAGUCCUUCUCCACUCUUCUAAUGCUCAUGAAAGCAAUUCCAGGAGAUCAUCUUGUUGUGUGUGCAUUGGAUGCCACUAACAAUCAUAGCUUGGUUAGCUGCCUCUCCCAAGAAUAGCCUUUAUGUUUGUUUAUUACAAAGGGAACGAACUUGCUGUUUACAUGUAGGGCAAAGCUAUCACUGGUACGUCCUUGCUGUGUCCUGUACUACCAAGUUAGUAACUCUACUUCAUCUAUUGUUGUUGCAUUAUGAUGGCUACUUGCAAAUUAAGGGUAAGAAGGACCAGCCACGGAUGCAAUGAUCAACUAAUCUGUGCGAUCUCGACUAGUGACCCAAAUGAUUUGUUGCAACAACGCAACACCUGAUGGUGCCAACCCUGAUGCAAAUGAACUUAAUCAGGAAUAGUACAAAAAGAGACUUUCAUGGCUCUUUUGCUUGCAGUUAGAAGACUUUUCUAUUACAAGACAGUUACCUAAAUCAAAAGGGAUGUCAAUGAUAAAGUGACUCGAUGAGUGGAGGGGAAAGCAUUCACCAUAUAUUCUCAUAACUUAUGAAGGAUUACACCUAUGGACUGAAAAGAGAGAGAGGUGAUCCGAACAUAGUUACAGAAAGAAGAACAUCACAUAAGAUUCCUGUCAAUAACAUAGAUUAGAUCCCAUAUGCACUAUCAAUAUUCUUUCAUAGCAAUUAAAAGAGAUCCUUUUUACUUCUUAAUUUAUCACCUUUAUUUAUGUUUUGACAAGGAGCUAAAAGGUUUUAUUUGUUUGAAUAAAAAAUUCUCAAUUUGUGAUGUAUCCAUGUAAUCACACAAUUCGUGCGAUAGUAUUAUCUGUUUCAAAAAGAGCACUCACAAAGAAAAUGAGAAUUAUUGUUUGUAUUCGUAGAAAAUAAAAAAAUGUGUUUGGAAGAUGUAUUCAAAGUUUUACGAGAUCAUCAUUUCAGGUGACAUACAUGAUCAAAUGGCUAAGAUAAGACACAUGAACAGGGGCGGAUCCAAGAUCCAUGUCUAGAGGUGCUCCCUUCCCUCUUCUUCUUCCUCCUUCUCUCUUUUCUUUCUUCCUCCUCUUCAUCUAUGCCUAAAAUUUGUGGGGGGCUCCGUGGACUUCAUGGCCCCCCGCCCCCACGCGCUGGAUCCGCCCUGCACAUGAACAGUAGAUAACGAUAUCAAUUACACGGAAGACCUGCUGGGUAUUCAGGUUGGCUUACAAUACCAUUCAUAUACACCCUACCAAGAAUAUUGUUGCGCAGGGAUAUGACACACGUAAAAAUAAAGUCUGUCCGGAGAGGCCCCAGCAGGCUAGCUAGCCACUUCUAUAUGUGGAUGGUAAUCCUUAAAGGAGUGCGUGGGAAUAGAACCGUGUGCUGUUAUUCAUAUAUACCACCCUACCAAGAAUAUUUGUUGCGCAGGGAUAUGACACAUGCAAAAAUAAAGUCUAUCCGGAGAGGCCUCAGCCUCGAUCGCAGGCUAGCUAGCCACUUCUAUAUUUGGAUGGUAAUCCUUAAAGGAGUGCGUGGGAAUAGGACCGUGCGCUCUUAUUCAUUCCGUUUACAGCUCCGCGGAAAGUAGAUUAUAUUCCUCCUACAUGUAUGGACAAGGGGGGAACAAGAUCCAUGGUUUCUCCACUGUUCUAACUCUAAUCGACUACAACCGUUAGCAAAACAUGGGGGACCAAAGGAAAGUAUGCCCACACUAAGAGGACCAAGCAAUAUUUUUUGUGGCACAUGUAGAGUUACGUUGUGGCUUAGUUUAUCAGGCAGCUAGGGUUCCUAGAUAAUGGAAUCGAUCUGGUGGACUUCUAGAACAUACUAUAUAUAUAUAUAUAUAUAUUGAAGGAACUAAACCUAGCUACAUCACCUAAAGACGAAUAAGCUUUAGAACAAUGUGUAAUACUAAUUGGCCACCUGGCUACCAUAUCUGGUAUUUUUUUUUGUAAAUUGUAUUAUUAUUGUUUUUCUCAACCUAAAAUGUGUGAAAUACUUCCUUGAAAAUGGUAAAAAUAUAGUAUUCAUAAAAGCCUUAAUUGCACACGUGCAAUCCAUAUCCACACACUAGAUAUUCUUUUGCAAAUUCUCUAAUAUAUUAGAAAAACACCGCAUUAUAAGGAUGCAUUUGGAAACCUUAAUUAGUGAUGAAUGCCGUACAAAAUAGCAACAGGUAGUACUAAACUAUUCAAAGAGAACUGAGACCGUAGUUAAUUACUUUAUUUGUAUAGAAAAAACUGCAUAGGUACCAACCCCCGGGUAUAUAUAGGGUUAUCUUGUCCAAAGAUCGGACAUACGUGUAGCGUGUAUGUAACAUGCAUGCAGGAAGCCAGGAACCAAAUGCUCUCUGCAAGUAUCGGAGACUCACGACCGGGUGCGCUUUAUACCUUUUGGACCAGCGGUACGAACGCAUCAGCUACGGUUAAUUAUUGUCUGGGUUGAUGAGCGCCACCGUCCCCGGUCGGAGGAGAAUCGAUAGUCCACGGUCGGAGGAGAAUCGAUACCGUACCCGGCCAGCAGCCGGCCUGCCGGUGGAGAAACGGAGCAAGGUCGAUCGGCCGAUGCCAUCGAUUUGUAUCACGACAAGAGCAUGCAUGUCUAUUCUAGGAGUUGAACUAAAAAAAUUCAAAAGGGGUCUAGGGCCAGUAGAUGAGUGUAUGAGACGAAAUUAUGCUUCGCUUUUGGACUUGUAUUAUGUGUAUGUGCGAGGAUCGAAUCAGAGAAAAACAUUCAUGCAUGGAGUACUGGAAGGAGCUAAUUAAAGCAGGGUCUUGGAGUCAGAGUCACUAGCCAGUAGAUUAACGCGGGAGGUUUCCGUUUAAGCAAUACUUAUUGACCACCUAUCUAGCUCUAGUACAUAAUUAACUUGUACACCCGUAUAGAAAUUAAAAUGGAGUACUCAUCAUGAAGUGAAUGAGGCGUACUGGUACAUGGACACCGUAUUGACGUGAUAGUCCACGGUCGGAGGGAAUCGAUACCCGGCCAGCAGCCGGCCGGCCGGUAGAGGAACGGAGCAGGAUCUCGGCCGAUGCCAUCGAUCGAUCGGUAUCACGACAAGAGCAUGUCAUCUAGGAGUUGAUCGAACUAGAAAAUUUGAAAAGGUGUCUAGCUAGGGCUCUAGGCUCUAAAAAAAAUCUUUAUAGAGGCACGCAUGUGUAUGCUCUAGAUGAGCGUGUAUGCGACGAAAUUAUGCUUUUGCUUUAGGACUUGUGUUAUGUGUAUGUCUGAGGAUCGAAUCAAGGGAAAUUGGGAAAACAUGCUUGGAGGACUCGAAGGAUGUAAUGUGGGAGGUUUCCCUAAGAAAUACUUAUUAACCACCUAGUAAGAGGCUCAUCUUGAAACCUCCAGAACCACCUAGGAUUCCUAAAUGGACACUCUAGAAAAAGAGAGAAAUCUUAAAAAUUCUUACAAGAAAACAAAACAUCUUGCCAUCAAUCUGUAAACUCAAGUCAUCAUAGUCAGUGGAUCUAAUAAUAGUCUAAAGUAACCCUCUAAAUCUAUACCUAAAUUACUCACAUCUGUCAUUAUAUAAAAUUUACUAAAGUAACCCCUAAUAUUCAUCAAAAUUACCCACUCAUGCCAUGUCGGGGGAAUAGUCCGGCAGUCCACCACGGAGUAGACCAAGGUGAUAGAUUGUGUGGAGGUGCAGAGCGUAAAAUUGAUCGAUCAGCAGUGCUCACGGUCAAGAGCGGCCUGGAUCCUCACAUGAUUAAUUUAUCGGAAGUUAAUUAAAUUAUUGUUAUUUAUUGCUAUUAUGUUGAUUUAUGUUCAUAUUUAAUGUGGGUGGUAUAAACCUAUACUUUUAGUAAUUGCUAAUAAAACUUGACCAACCAAUUAAAAUGCUGAAUUACUAUUAAACCAUAGCCUAUCCUUGAAUGGCCUUACACUACAUAUUCCUCAUGCUUGCUGAGUACCAACCAUAAGUGUACUCACCCUUGCUAAAAUCGCUGCUCAGAACAAGUCAACUUUGAGGAGGUUCUUCAAGACUUCGAGGAGUUCUAGGCGUACAUGUGCCCUCAGUCAACUACCUGUGGAGUCGUCGUCUUCGUUGGAGUUCCACUGCUAUAAUAAAGAUUCUUUUUGCUAUUCGAUUUAAAGACUAUUGGUCAUGUAAUAAAUAUAAUACUCUCUUUACGUUAAUGCAUCAUCUAUGGUAUUUACUGAAGUCGUUGCCUGUGUGUAACUUGAUGCUAGCGUACAUGUAGUUCAUGCAUCUGGUUUUGCCUUUAAAACCGGGUGUGACAUAAUCCUCGACUAAUUUCUAUCUUGCCAUGUACACUACACCGUCUUGCGCCAUAGCCUUCAUGUCAGAUACGUCUCGGUGUCCAGCCCUGUACUCAAGACUGUCCAAAUCUUCUGGUAAGUCAAUGGAUAUAUGUACGGCAGCAGGCGGAGCCAUGGCGCAGGGGGCGCGAUGGAGAGGCAAGUGGUGGCGCAUAAGCGCGACGAGGAGAGGAGCCAAGCGAGGGCACGAUGCAGGCCGUGCGGGCCGCGUCGUGCCUCGGGCAGCCUGGUAGCCUGCGUGCCUUGGGCCAGCCCGAUGACCUAUCGUGCCCAUGCUUGGGCCGUCGGUUCAGCCCGUGAACGGGCACGGCACGGCACGCUGGUGGUGUAGUGCCGAGCCUAGCCCGGCACGAAAAUGGCUGUGCCUUGCCGGCCCAUGCCGGACCCGGCCGGGCGGCACGAAUGGACAACUAUAGGUGGCUGCUGGCCGUACGCAUUCUAUCUGAGCGAGGUGUAUUGUAUCAAGUCGGGGAUAAAAAGAACCUACUCCUGCUACCGAUCGACCUCAGGGGAAAAAAGAACGGCGGGAAGGAAAGCAAGAAAAAAAAACAUGUGUGUAGUCACGGCUGUGGUCCAAUCUACUGCCCUGGAGCCUCGCUCGUCUUUGACUUUAUCUGUGCAGCAGUGGCGUGUAUGCAUGACGACGACGCUUUGUUCUAGCCUCGCACGUCUCUCGCUCGUGGUGAUCCAUGCAUGUUCAUGCCCUUUACCUCGUGUUUAUAUUAGUUGCUUCCUACGGGGCCAGGGUUUACGACGCCGACGUGUAAAUAUUUUUAUUUCGUGUUCAUCCGUAUCACCAGCGCAGUAGAUAAAAUUUGGCACUGUGUACUGUUGAGUCAAACAAACACACAAGUUGGUCUACUAUCCGGCACUACUUGGUGAUAGGUAGUUUGUGGACGCGAGAGCAUGGCUCGUGAGGACAGACGACUUUCCAUGGACAUCGACGGAGAUAAUUUAACUGGUGGAGAGAGUGGAGACCGUCAGACCGACAGCUCUAGCUAGCUCUCACCGCGAAACGAAACUACAUAUAACCAGCCAAUAAUCUUCCAGGCGAUUUGUUUGGUGAAUGAACGUACGCCAGCCAGAGUGCCAGACAAUACAUGUGGAUGCACAAUUAACUAGUGGAGUGUUUUAGUUACCAUGCACAGUUACAGGAUGCGAUGAUCUAUAGUUACGUACUGUGCGCUGCAGCAAGAUAAGAGCACUGAGCUGUAAAUGCAAUCCACGCAUUUCUUGCUUUAAUUAUAAUAUGAUCAGGGGCGACCUUUUUUCUUUUUUCAAGGACGGAAAAAAAUGUCACCCGCCCUUGUUGAAAAAGGGCACGCACUGCAGCAAGCGCCCGCCCGGGAAAUGCAUUACCAGGACCCCGGGAAAUAGGGGUCAUCUCCGGAGGCGGCCGACCCUAUCAGCCCGGCUUUGAAAAAAUCAUUUCCUGAAGCAGGGACGGCAUUAGCCGUCCCUAAAGAUGACCUUAUUUCCGGAGGUGGCUCGUUCCUGUAAAUAUUUUUGCAGGAGCGGACCGGAAGGUCACCCGCCAUGAAGCUGCUUCCCACGCGCGAUUUGCAAAAUUUCCAAAGCCUCGGUGCGUGGGGCUCGCGUCCUAACAUUGUCUCCCUAUCACCACGACUCCACUAGUGCUACAGCAACCUUAUCUCCUCCUCUCUUCUCUCCCUCUCUCCUCUGUCUCCCUUAUCUCCUUCUCACGUCUCUCCUCUCUGCUGGGCAGGCAGGUGUGUGGAGGCCGGGCUGUGGGCACUCUAGGGUGGCACGACGCACGGAGGCCGGGGCACGGCCGCUAGGCGCGGCGCGGAGCUCGAGCCACCCGGCGUUGAAGGCUGGCGCGGAGCUCGGGGCCCCGGCGGAGAAGGCUGGUCGGCGGAGAAGGCUGGUGCGUCGGCGACCUUUUCCUCGACCGACUGGCGAGCGGCGUGGCUAGGCGGCGGGUGGCGCAAUGAGGUGGUGCAGCGGGUGGUGCAACAGCGGCUCCUGUGCAGUGGUGGGCCCACUUAGAUUCAAUGAUAUUCAAUUGAAUACCCAUUAUUUUUGCAAAAAAAUUUCAUAUAUAUAGUGUAUUUUAGGUAUAUGUAUGAAAAAAAUAAAAAUACAGAAGCUAGCAUAGACAUUUCACUCAAAAAGGCCCACCGGAGGGCAACUUUGCUCUCCCUCGACUGGCCCAACUGGCCCAUCUGGCCUGCAUCUGCCAACUUGAUUGCCCCCCCACCGUCCCACCCCCACGCGUGAGCACAGAUUCACGCACCACGGUCCACGGCUCCAGGGUCCAGACGCGCGACCGCGAACCCUAGGCGGCUUCCGGCGGCGGCGGCGGACCGGCGGUGGCGGCGCCCGGCGGUAAGCGGCGGCUGGCAGGCUAGGAGGGCGAAGGCGGCUGGCGCCUGGAGCCGAGCCAGCCGCGCUGCGGCGGCCGACGGGCCAGCGGGGGUGGGCGCGCAGGGCGCUACUGGCCACCGUGGGUGGCUGGGCGCACCACGCUUCGUCUGUUCGGCGCUGCGGCUCGCCGGCUCCGCCCUCUGUGAGCGGCGAGUCCAGUCGGCCGACGCGGGCACGCGGCGACAGCCGGCCCCAAGCCCCCAAGGCCCCUACUGUCUACUGAUUUGAGGAUUUUGUGAACUGCUAUUCCUGAUUGUUUGUGAAAUUGAGGUGAGCAUUUUCAAUUGUUUGUCAAAUUGGGAUAGCACAUCAACUUGCAAAAUGUGGAUGCUCAUGAAUUUAGUUCAAUGUGAAAUUGUAAAUAUCUGAUAACUUGAAAUUGUGUAACUUUUAGGUUUGAACCAUGAAGAGGAAGGGUAGUGCCGCUACUGAUUUGAGGAUUUUCAUGGCAAGGGCUGCUGCAAAGAAGAGACAACCUGAACCGGAGAAUGUUAAUCAAUCUUGCAAUGAAAGCCAAAUGCAACUAGUAUUAUUCCAAGGGCAGAGUGGUAGUGAAACAAGCACGGUACCACAUGAACCAGUGAGAUCUAACCAGCCUCCAGAGAACGGUACAACAGAAGAUGGUGAAUCCAUACCUGUGGAAGAAAAUGAUUCUAGUGAUGAAGACAAGAAUGAUUAUGGCAUUGAGCAUGAUCCUGGAUUGAGGGCUCCGAUCUCAAGUUAUGAUGUCAAUGACCAAGAUUCAGUUAGAAGGGCAUACAUUACAUUGGGGCCAUGUCAACCAAAGAUGAAGAGGGAUGCUUUUCUGCAACAUGAUUGUGGAGGUAUGCGCCGCUUCCAACAUAAGUGGUUUGCUGAAUUUAAGUGGAUUGAGUACAGUGUGGAUAAAUAUACUGCAUUUUGCUUUGUUUGCUAUUUGUUCAAAGAUAACUGCAAAUUUCCUGGUAGAGAUGCUUUUGUUGUUGAAGGGUUUAGAAAUUGGAAUAUGAAAAGGAGAAUUCAUAGGCAUGUUGGUGCUAUCGAUAGUGCUCAUAGUGAAGCUGAAAAAGAAAUAUAGAUUGUUUAUGAGACCUAAGGCAUCAAUCCGUGAAUCUGUUGCAUCAAACACUACACAGUUCAAGGCUAAGUAUCUAGCUCGCUUAAUAUGGUCACUUAAGUGCAUAAGAUUUCUGUUGCGUCAAGGGUUGGCUUUUAGGGGUCAUGAUGAAACAAAUGAUUCACUCAACAAGGGGAAUUUUUGGGAACUUUUAGCAUGGCUAGCAGGAAACUUUGAAGAGGUUAAUUUGGUGGUACUAGAGAAUGCACCAUAAAACUGUCAGAUGAUAGAUCACAAGAUCCAGAAACGACUCAUUGAUGCUUGUGCUCAUGAAACAACUAAAUUUAUCAUUGACGGAACUUGGUGAUGAGUGUUUUGCAAUUCUUGCUGACGAGUCAAGUGAUGCAUACCUACUAGAACAAUUGGCUCUUUGUUUGCUUUUUGUCACUAAAAAAGGAGAACCAGUUGAGCAGUUUCUAGGUCUUGUCCAAGUUGAAGAUACUACAUCAUUGACUCUUAAAGAAGUAAUUCAAUCCUUGCUUAUCAAAUAUCAAUUGCCCCUAUCCAAGGUACGUGGUCAAGGGCAUGAUGGAGCUAGUAAUAUGAAGGGUCAUGUUAAUGGUUUGAAGAAACUAAUUAUGGAUGAGUCCCCUUCUACUUAUUAUAUUCAUUGCUUCGCCCAUCAACUUCAACUAACACUUGUAGCAGUUGCUAAGGAGAAUACUGAUUGUGAUUGGUUCUUUGGGCAACUUGCUUAUUAGUUGAAUGUUCUAGGGAUGUCUUGUAAAAAGAUCCGCACGCUUCGCAUUGCUCAAGCUGAAUACAUGAUUGAAGCAUUGAAAUUGGGUGAAAUUGAAACCGGGCAAGGAUUGAAUCAAGAGAUGGACUUAACAAGGCCAGGUGAUACACGAUGGGGAUCUCACUACAAAACUGUAAUGCAUGUUAUGUUCUUGUAUCCUUCAAUCAAGAAAGUUCUCUUUAGGAUUGGGAAUGAAAGUAAAGGGGCUGAGGCUAAUGGAGCUCAAACUAUGCUCACAGUAUUUAAGUCCUUUGAGUUUGUUUUCCUGCUACACUUGAUGAAUGAAAUAUUUGGAUACACAAAUGACUUGUGCAAUGCUUUGCAAAAGAGGGAGCAAGAUAUCGUAAAUGGAAUGGAUCUUCUGGAGUUCACAAAGGUAGAACUGGAUGUUUUGAGGCAAGAUUCUGGAUGGCAAGAAUUUCUUACCAAGGUCACUUCUUUUUGUGAGAAGCACAAUGUUAAAGUUGUUGACAUGAAUGGGAAGUAUAUUCCUAUGCAAAGAUCAAGGCAGUUCUACAGAGGUGCCAUUAAUUAUCACCGGUUUCAUGCUGAUAUGUUUUUGGGUGUCAUUGAUAGACAAGUUCAAGAGCUCAAUAAUAGGUUUGAUGAGGUAAACAUAGAGCUACUUAGAUGCAUGGCAUCAUUCAGACCAGCCAAUUCCUUUUCUGCUUUUAAUGUUGAGAACUUGGUUAAGCUUGCUGGGUUCUAUCCACAUGACUUUGAAUUUCAAGAAAUAAACCAGCUUUAUUUUCAGUUGCACCACUAUAUCAAUGAUGUCAAAAAUGAUGAAAACUUCAAAAAUUUAAGAAGUCUAGCUGAGUUGUCUAUGAUGCUAGUUAAACAAGGAAAGAUUUCUCGGUACGAAAUUGUUUAUAAACUUCUCAAAUUGGUGCUUGUUCUCCCUGUUGCAACUGUUAGUGUUGAGAGGGUCUUUUCUAUAAUGAAUUUGAUAAAGAACAAGAGAAGAAGUAAGAUGGGGUAGAAAUAUUUGAAUGGUUGCUUGGUCACAUUGAUUGAAAGGGAAUUCUUCAUGCAAGCUAAGGAUAAGGACAUCAUCGCUCAUUUUCAAAGCAUUGCAGAACGGAAAGUUAUCCUAUAGCUUGUAAAUUGUAAUCUUUGUUACCAUUUUGCUGUUUUAGCCUCUAUUUAUUUCACAUGUUGCCACUUUGAUAUGUUGAUCAUUAGUAGCUGAACAAUUUUAAUUUGUGAUCAAUUUUAUUAAUCAAUGAUGCUACCACUUAAUUCGGUGUUAUAAAACUAUAAUUUAUUCUAUUAAAUUUUUUUUCUUGCCAUCUCCAAUUUUGAAUACCCAUAGUCUAGAUCUUGCGCCCGCCACUGCUCGUGUGUGGGCUGCAGGUGGAGAAGCUUGGUGGCAGGGGUCAUGGGUGGAGGGCGGCGAUGGCUCGGCGGGGGCUGGCCCGGCAAGGCCACGGCCUUGCCCCGCAGCAGCCAGGGGUCGCGGCACCAGCGAGGUUGCGCAGGGUGCAGGACCGGCGGCGGGGAGCCAGCAUGGUGGCCGGAUUUUCCUUUCUUUUCUUUUUUAUUUUGCUUUUUUUAAAAUCGGUUUCUAGGGUGGGUGAGUGGGUGAGGCCGUGGCCUGACCUGAAGACGGUACGUGCAGGACUGGGUCGACGCCCGCCCUGGAAACAGCCAUUUUUAGCUGAAAAAGUAGGGUGAGUGCCGCGCGAUCCUGCCAAUGCCGUUUCGCCCGACACUGCAAAUGUUCUCCGUAGUAGCGGUCCCCAUCUUUUUUUGACAUAAAACAUAGGUAUGCAUGGUAGCUAGGAGGUGAAUGUACGUACUGUACCGUGGCAGAGGUGAAUGUACGUACUGUACCCUGGCAGCAGGCUGACCAUCAUCAUCUUUUGCAUGCUACUAGGGCCUCAACUUGCAAAACGAAUAUUGCAUUGCAACCUAGGAGUAUAUAUACGGAUUAGCCAGUGUAGUCAACGCAGAGGAUUGGCUCGGACUAGGCACGUCAGGUGAAAUUGGAGCCAUUCGUACCCAGACGUACUCUUUCUUUUUUCCGUUUCAGCGGACUGUGACAGCACAUCUUGCAUUAUACUGACGAAAGAAAUUACAUUAUCGUACGUGGAAGCACAAGCGACCAGUGAGCUAGGAGCAAAGGGAAACCAUGCAACGACAUCCCACAUAUUGUACGUUGUCCGUUCCCUAAUCUCUACCAGCUGGUCAGCUCGCUACCUGUCAUCAUGACGUGUCUCUAUGUACGUGGCUGGCUAUCUCUGACUUAUCUGUGUACGUAACAAGUUCAAUCCAGAAAGAAAUGAAAAACUCAAAAAAAGCAUACAUCAGGCAAACAUAGUUAAAAGAAACAUAAUCAGAAAACAAAUCUCGUCUGCUGUAGCACUAGUACAAAGAUGACUUUGCCACCUUUGCACUGCACGGUUCCAUUUAAUUUUCAAGGAACUUUGUCUGAUAUGAUCUGUUGUGUGCGAUCUUAGCCAUUGCAAAUACUAAUGACAAAUCCAGCCUGAAAGUCAAAGGUGCUCCCCAAAACACUGGAGUUCAGAUGACAACUAGCUUGCAUGUAUAUUAUAUACAGAAAAUAAAAUUCUUUUCUUUAACCUGCUUAGCCGCCCCAGAACGUGCAUCGCAAGCAGGGCCGGCUCUUGAGAAGUUUAGUUUAAUGGUUUUCCCAAAUAAACACUCCUCAAACAAAUGAAUAUCCUCAUUUUUUGGCAAGAUAAGUGUUGCUUUCAUCCGUCCAUAAGCUAGCUUCUUUUGACAAACUGAUGAUUGAUAAAUAUGUUUUACCUUUCACCAUGUAAUUUCAAAGCGUGCUGAUUAAUUACCUAGUCCUAGUUCUACUAGCUACCAGGGAGCGUUAGCCCAGACAAAAUACAUAGCCCUCCAAAGAAAAAGUGCUGUUGCUGUCAUAGUAACUCCAAGGAAACCGAAGCAAACGGCCAAAGCGACUCUUCGACGAACCACAUGCAAAUGAAUGUGUACAGUAGUACUCUCUCCUAUCUUUUACGGAGUAACUUGUUGGUUCUUCCAUCUCCCCGUUGAAAACGAAGCUUGUCUUGGUCUGCAGGGAUAUCACCAUGUGCACGGAAGUGACUGUUAACCGAGACUGGCAUCUUGUAGCUGACGACUGACACUGGCUGACAGGCACUUAUAUAAAUAUAGUAAUACAAGUAUAGUUGUUCAUAAAAACCUAUAGGGUUUUCUGUGCCCUUCUUCCAUCACGAUAGUUGUAAUAAACAUAUGCCUAGAGGCUGGAGGUUGCACGCAUUACUGGAAAACCUACUUUAGUUCCGGUUGGAUAGGGCCAUAGAUCCUGAAAAUCCAACCAGGACUAAAUUUUUGAGACAAAAAGGGAUCCUUUAAUCUCGGGUCAUUCGUCCGGGACUAAAGAAAUGGGCCACCCAUCGGCCGCUGCCGCCCGCGCCCGCCCGGGCCACCCGCCGGCCACCACCACCCAGGCCCGCCCUAGCUGCCAGGCGCCCGCCCGCCUACCUGGAAGAGGAGGAGGAGGAGGAGGGAGAGGAAGAGGAGGGAGAGGAGCACGCUGCCAGCCUGCGGGAGAUAAGAAAGGGGAGAUAAAGAAGAAAAGGUGGAGGGGGGCACGUGGAAAGGUCCCGGUUGGGCGUUUAGUCCCGAUUAGUGUUACCAACGGGGACUAAAGGCCCCCCCUUUAGUCCCGGUUGGUAGUUCCAACUAGGAAUAAGGGGGUCUUUAGUCCCGGUUAGUAGUUUCAACCGGGACUAAAUGCCUCACCAGAUUCCCUCCAUUACAACCGGGACUAAAGGGGACUCUUUAGUCCCAGUUGAUAUUACCAAGUGGGACUAAAGAGCCCAUCAGAGGUGGCCUUCGGUGGCUCAUUUUUGACUCAGGACUAAAGGCACUUUAGUCCCGGGUCUAAAGUCAAUCGGGAUAAAAAGGUUUGGAUGGAAGUUGAGUUCUCUAGUAGUGACGCAUGCCAAGUCAAAUGUUGUCUUUGGCCUCUGGCUGCUAUCACUAUUGGAAAACUGAGUAUUGGUCCUAGCCCUUAGUACCGAUUGGUUUUUGACCCGGUACUAAUGUGAGCAUCAGUACUAAUGUAGUACUAAUGUGAGCAUUAAUACCGGGUCUAACGGCUAAUUCCCCAAGAGCCCCCGUGACUCCCUUUAGUACCGGUUGGGCUCCAACUGGUACUAAAGGUCACCCAUUAGUACCGGGUGGAGCCUCCACCCGGUACUAAUGGCCCUAAGGGCCUUAUUUGGAAGAAGUCUAUAUUUUAGGAGGUACCUUAUUGGGAAGUCCUUGAGGUCCUUGAUGCCUCGCCUAUUGCAGCAUCUGCAAAGGCACCUCCUUGAGUCCUGUUAGGAAUGUAGUUACCAUCUUCUUCAUCAUCAACAUCUUCCAUCAUAACUUCUCUUUCCCCGUGCUUGGUCCAAAUAAAAAAUAAAAUAGUUAGGCAUGAAUCCUGAACUGUAUAUGUGGGCAUGAAUAGUCUUUCUGGAUGAGUAAUCCUUCUCAUUUUUGCAAAUUCAGUAUGGACAACAAAUGAAACCAGGCUGCGGCUUGUUGGACUCUGCUAGAUCGAGAAAACCACGCAAGCUAUUAAUAUACUCCAUGGAGCAUUUGUCCGCGUUGUACAUCCAUUGCCGAUCCAUCUACAAAGUAUUACCGAACCAAAGAUAUUCUGAUCAUCCAUAGAAUUAUACAUGAAACAUAACAAACAUGAUACAAAUACCAUUAAAUGCAAAUAUUGCUGAAAGUUUAGAUAGAAAUACAUAAAUUUAAAUUUCAGAUCCAAACAACAUGAUACACUACAACAAACUCAAAUCUUGCUGAAAGUUUAGAUAGAAUACACAAAUUUAAAUUUCAGACCCAAACAACAUGAUACACUAUGACAAACCAUCCACUGAGUACUAUCUAGGAGGACUGGGACUGGCAGUGGAGCAUAACAACCACCAAAAGGAGAUUCUUGACCCGCCGCAAUAGCAUCUUCAUGACAUCUUUGGAAAUAACGAAGCAUUGCUCUCUCCCACGUGCUCAUUUUCUUCGGCUUAUCAUGAGGGCCAACUAUGGUUUUCCCCUUACCGCGAGAGGAAUGAUGAUCGCCCCCACCAUCACCACUACCUCCAGCAGCAGUAGCCAUCUCUAUGUACGACAAUUUAUUUAGCUCAUAUUUGCAAAUGACUAAACUAUGAACAAAUUAUAUUUUUUCCCACAAUUUAUUUAGCUCAAACAUAACAUAUAAAAGAAAAGUUUCUCCGUUGUAGCUUAUUCUAAAACUGACUAAUUACGUGCCUCUAUUUCAUCUUAUUAUCUCUAUGUACCACAAUUUAUCUCACUCAUAUUUGCAAAUGACUAAAAUAUGAACAAAUUAUAUUUUUCCCUAUAAUUUAUUUAGCUCAUAUUUGUAAAGGACUAAACUAUGAAAAUAUUCCUCUAACCUCAUAUCAAUUUCUUUGACUAAUAUAAAACAUAGCAUCUAAAAAAUUGUAGCUUAUUCUAAAAAUCACAAAUAUGAGCUCUAAAUAACAUAUGCAUAUAAAUGAGAAAUUUCUCCAUUGUACCUUAUUCUAAAAAUCACAAAUUACUCUAACUCUAAAGUAUAAAACUUAGUAUACUAACCAUGUAUCAAGCGAGGAUGAAGUUUCUAACCUUUAGAACACUUGAAUAAGUGAAAUCCCCACGAAAUGGUCAAAAAUAAGGCAGCACCGUACCUCCCCUAUUUCGCCAUGAAUGGAUGAAGCUCGAGUUGGAGGAAAUGCCUCGGGCAGGAGGAAGAAGACGCUUGAUUUAUAGGAGAAAAGUUAGUACCAGUUGGGGGGCUUCAACCGGUACUAAAUGGGGUCAUGGAGGGCUUCUGGGGAACUAGCGGUUAGACCUGGUACUAGUGCUUACAUUAGUACCGAGUCAAAAACUAACUAGUACUAAGGAUUAGGACCAAUGCUCAAUUUUUCAGUAGUGUUGGCGGUACUUUUCUUUCUUUCUUUCAUAGCACAGAAAAUAUGCUCUUCUUCUAAUCGAUCGGCAGCUCUCUCAUUAUUUGGUUUGUUUUCAAAAAUUUUUUUUGCCAAAGAUAUAUGGCGAAGGGCCAAUGAAGCUGGAGGCAGAGACGUACUGGCACGUUGGGGAGAAGAAAGCAGUGACAAACUGCACAGCUAGCUAGCUGCGAGAACCUUAUUCCUGAGCUAAAGUUGCUGGCAUCUCGCCCAUGCAUAUGCAUACCUCUGAUGAGUGUGGCUUAUUAGAUAUAGACAUUGGGUCCUGCUUGGCCCCCACACACAUCAUAAAAUUCACUUGAUUUACAUUGUACAAGAAAGUAAACACGCAAUCCUGUGGGCUACCAGAAUGUUUCAUGUGCAUAUAUAUAUUUAGUAACAUAUAUACUGCAGUAUUAUUAUUUGAUUGAUCAUGUCGACGCUAUAUAAAUUUUAUGUAUGUAUGCAUGCUAGGAAAGAAAAAGUAUAUUCAUGGAAGACCACGGUUCAACUUAGUUUAUUAUUAGCUAGCAGGUUUCUCCCGGGAUAAAGCGCGCGGUCUUGUGUUUAUUAGUUUAAUCUUACCUCAGUUGACACAUUAGGUGUGGAAACAUGACUGGAGACCAACUGCAAGUCUCCUAAUCUGCUACUCGCCUAACACGUUUAGCUUUCGGUCGGGGUUGGGGACAGAUGGGUCGGAUAUGAUGCCUGCACGAAACACACGUACUUAAAAGCAUGGUGCGUGCCAGGCGCUGCAAAAAUAUAGGUACGGUGUUUUCAUUGCUAGGCAACGGAUUACCUAGCUGCAGGGGCAAAUUUUGCACCAUCCAAUAACACUACUGUUACUGUGUUGAGCACAUGCUUGAGCAUGACCACACACUGAAUCCAAGCAAGCAACAACAAGAUGAUCUGAUCGAUCAAGCAGUGGUAUAAUCGUCUCAGUGUGAAUAGAACACGCACGCCAUGCAUGCAUUUUCAACACACGAAACUACCAACACCUUACAUUUAUGAUGAUUUGGAGUUCCGUUUUGCUGAAAAAAAGAUGAGUGAAAACUUCGAUUAUUGCAUAUCCAUUCCAUUAUCUUGGAUGUGACCUAGCCAAUAAUCGCUGAGGACACAAGCAGGAUUCGCCCAUGACAUCUCGCGAGAUAGGCAUCUCCAUGUAUCAUGGCCACUCCUUUUCUGCAUCUUUUGUUUUCCUGUAGCACUAGGCACAGACAAGAGAUAAAGAUUUGCAUCCCUCGUCGUGCAUGUGAAGCAUAUUUGGUGUUUGUUGAGGCGACAAAAAGCUGAUCGAUGUUAAUUUCUCACGAAUCAUGACUAUGCGUCUACAGUGGAGUUUAACGAGAGCACAGUUCUUUCGUUUCUUCUUCCACAACGUAAAAUAUGUACGGCCACAUAGAUCUCAUCUGGAACCGUCUGAUGCACUUCGCCGGUUGGUAAGAUGAUUCCUGACAUUUGUAUGGUCGUGUACUAUACUCACUACUAGAAAGCUGACCCUUCAUCCAUGAGCUAGUACCAGAAGAUUUUUGGUUCGGUACUAACGCGUGAAAUUAGUACCAUAUCCAAAUUUUCAGUCCCCAAAGGCUUUUUAAGUACCGGAUCACAACACCACCCUGUACUAAAAGGUAGCUUUUAGUACCAGGUGGUAUUGUGACCCGGUACUAAAGUGGGUGGUGUUAUGACCCAGUACUAAAUGGCUCUCCACGAGUUACUUCGAAAGGAAAGCAUAUCUAACUUCAUCACAUGUGCUAUGUAGGUGAGAUGAUAAGGAAGGUUCGUGCGAGGCUUGAGGUCAUGGGUUCGAAUCCCACGGACCGCGCACGCACAUAUUACGUGUGAAAUUCGCGUGUGUGGGGGCCUCCUGGCUGUUCAUCAGUUAAUGUCAAUGCCAGGGUUCUAUUUUUGUUUUAUAUUUUAUUACAAAUGUCAGUAUCCAUUAGUGUUUUUUAAAAAAGGCUAACAGUUUUACCUGCAAUUUUGGUAAAAUGCCAAUUAACAACAUAAUCUUCCAGAACGUCAUUGCCCACAUUUUUAUGGUUAAUUAGUUAACCAAAUAUACUAAACCCCACUGGCCAUUGUAAGAUGAAACUGUUAGGAAAAAAAUACUCUUUGUAGUGGUCUGGGAAACAACUCAAGUGACAAAGAUUUCGGAGCAAAGACACCACUGACCAGGGCAGAGCUUACCAAACGGAAGCCAUCAACAUUUUUCUAAUGCACAUCGGAGGUCAUUCUUUUUAGAUUUUUUUUGUGUCACACAUGAAAAGAAUUCAGUUUUUUGGAGGUGUCGUGUAACUUGCAAAUUUAACUCAACUGGCUGCAUUGGUCUCAUUUGGAAAGGGAUAUAGUUGUGUCGUGAAAGAAUUAAGUAUACAUUCAUUUCGCUACAAUCCUUCUUCGUUUCUUUGCCACACAUGGUUCCUCUGAAUUUUCAAAGUCAAUAAGAUACCAAUUUGACGAGUGUAAUUAAUUUAAAAAAGAGUGACGGUGUGUAGGACAAGUAAGAUUGAUAUGCCGUUCUUAUUGAAAAAAAAACCCAUCGUGUUUCCAAUAGACAAUGAUAAGGACACUCCUGAAAACCCAACAGGAUCUCUUGAGACAAAUCCAAGUUCCUUUUUUAAAAAACACAACAUGUUGAUACACGAGGAAAGUGUUUUUUCGAAGCAUUUUCAGGCCUUUCCCUUGUGCUUCCGGCACACUAAAAACACACCCCAGAUUCUGAUAGUGAGGGGGUGGGCGGAGUGAAUGCAAGCCACUAACCAGAAAGGAAGACCCAUCCAGAAUAACCUCAUUCGUUCCACUCUUUGCAUUUAUCCCCUACCCAUUUGCAGUGUGCAACAUGCAUGACCACACAACACGCAGUUGCAGUAAAUUAAACUAGUAAUUAAACGGCCACCAGCUAGUGAUCGAUGCAUCUCAUGUGUCAUUUGGUGUGAGCGAGCCACCAAAUGUCCAGCACCUGUUGCUUGCAUCUCAUGUGUCAUGGGUCAGUCACCAAACGGCGUACGCAUCCGAAAGGUUCUUGGCUUGUUUGCUUAUAACCUCAUGAGAAGUGGUUGGCUGUAAGAAGACUAGAAGAGAGCACACCGGGGCAAGAAGAGCACAAGUGUUGUCUUUUGAGCCAAGAGUCUCUGCAUGGUCAGUUAAGGGAAGUGUUCCCUCUUAUGAGACGACCAAAUCCGAUGCCCAAAUGGUUCCUAUCGCAAAAAAUGUUUCUGCUGUCAUGUGUCUGGUUGGAUGUGUGUCGUCCGCUCGACCAAGCAAGCAUGUCUAGCUGCUAGUUUGUUCCGACCUACUAUGUGUACUACCUUCGCAAUCGUAAAUAUAUGUCAAUUUAGGAUGGUUGCUGAUCAACGUUUUUUUAGCUUUAGCCAUCAGUAUAUUAAAUUCCAUAUAAACUCACAGACACAAGAUUGGUGGUAUUAUAUAUUCAUUGGAAAAUUUUGUCAUGGUGAUAUGUAACUUUUUUUUUCUGUUUAAGAUGAUAUUUUUGUUUUUUUAAAUGGGUAGUUAUAUUGAAGUCUAUGACGGCGUCGUAAUGACCUUGUGCCUGUGAUAAGAGAAAAAAAAUACCUUGUUCUAUGUGUUCCCUUGCUCUACCUAUAAUAAUUAGUAGUUGGACCUUUUUAGUAUAAUGAAUGUCCCCUAAACUAUAUUUUGGUUCAAUUUACCCCCUAAAUUAUUGUAUUUGGUUCAACUUAUCCCAUAAUGCAAUUUGUCAUUUUUGUUUGUACAAGUUGAUUUUCAAUUUGAGACUUUGCAGGGUGGUAGUGGAUAUCAUAAUCUAUAUGAGGGAUACGGGUACCCACUGGUCCCCACCGACCAGGAUACUGGUCAGCCUAACAAGUGGGCCCCGCCCGCCCGUGGCUGCGGGGGCAACGCAUGAAGACACGUGGAGUACAAGCUCGGAGGCUAAGCAAACGGAUUCUACCCAGAUAUUGCGGGAUACACGUUGUAGUCCGACUCAUAUUGCUUUCCAUGUAACAACCGACUAGGAUUAGAUCCUAUCUGAUUGUAAACCUAGGUCAUCAGACUAUAUAACACAGCCAGGGACGCCCCUGAGGGGGACCUCAACUCAACCCAAUAGAUGUUAACUCUUUGCACCUGCGCUCAGCAAUGUAAUCCACCAGAACACAGGACAUAGGGUAUUACUCUCCGGAGGCCAUAACCUAUCUAAACCUUGCGUCUCUGUGUUAUCAUUCGAGUUCUUGAUCUUGCGAUCUUUCCCCACCUACAAAUCUACCACCUGGGUAACCCCUGGUGGAUUGCCGGUCACUAAAUCUGACAGUUGGCGCACCAGGUAGGAGUGAUCGUGAGAUCCUCCCAGCAAGCUCGAUGGCAUCCCACCCCGGUGUCAUCUUCCGCAAGAGCAUGAAGGACUUUCUCAACAAUCUGAUCCAGCUCCGCUUUGGGAGGAUGCCGGUGGACUCCUACUCCGUCGUCUCCAUCACCAACUCGGUGUCCACCGCCAGCUCGGCAUUCGUCGAACCUACAUUGAUGAAGCAAGGUCUUCACCCAAGGAUCAUCACGCUUCUUGCCCAGCAGGUCAGCGAUCUCUCUCUCUCUCUCUCUCUCUCUCUCUCUCUCAGAGAGGAUCCCGCGCAUCCUCGUGGCAACCCGCCCACCCACACCCUCCGAUCUAAUCGUGGGGCUAGAUUGCAUCAGCAACACCAUUGCUGAGUGCAUCAACCUCUCCGGGGCGGCACUACGCCCCGGAAGGUAGGCGCAGGGCUCUCCCCACAACCCUUUUGGCAUUAAGAACUCGGCUACCGUGUUUUUCUAAAAACUUGUACAGUCUUUCCAGAUCCAAUCUAACGACCAACCCGCACCCACCCAGUUUCCGAACUGCGGCGAGUUUCAGGUCCCUCGCUUCGCUAUAACCCCAAACCCUUAUGGCGAGGGCGACGACGGAAGCUCUACAUCACUAGAUCGGGAAGUCUUCGCUGUCUCCGCAGACGAACCUUAAAAGUUAUGUACUCUUUUUACAUUUUGCAUUGAAUAAAUAAAACCUCAGAGGUUCUUUGUGUAUCUACUACCUUCUUGCUUUCUUACCUGAGCCCUUACUCACGCUCGGGGGGCUGUUGGAUCUGAUCGACAGACUAUGCCCUCGCCGUUAUGCUCGGGGGCUUCCCCCAUUAUGCGCUGACCUUCGGGUCUGACCCAUUCUCCUACCCCUCUCAUGGCAAAUAUGACUAACUUGUGUGGAUGGUGUCCUAGCUUAGCUCACGAAACAUAGACAACUUUGCAUCCACCCCUCUACAAGCUCGAGAUCCGCUCUCAGCAGAGUGCUGGCGAGGCAACGAUGGGCGCUUAGCGGGUACAGGCCCAAUCUACACAAUGUCCUGUCGUAUACACAAAAGGAGGGAUGGAUGCUUUCCAUUUGCACAAGUUAAUUGCCUAGCUUACUUGUCUCACAAUACAGAUUGAUACACAUCAUAGUUUUUUCAUUACAGGUUCAACUCUUUGACUACCUCCUCUGCGACUUGUUGAUACUGGUCAGCCAAUUUCGGAAGGCAUUUGGGGUUGCGCCCUACAAGUGCCCAGCGCACGCUUCCGCUUUUUCACACAGUUCUGACUACUUUGCGGCUUGUCCGUCUCUCUUAAUAGUUGCUAAAGUACUCGGAUAGCACAUGCUUUAAUCCGUGAAACCUCGACUCAUCUUGUGAUGCCCCGUCUACAAGCUCAAGAUACACUCUCAGUAGACUGCUGGCUAAGCAAGGCUAGGUGCUUAAAUGUAACAAGCUAACUACCCGAAGAAAUUACAUAGCCCACAAGAGCAGCACGCACAAGAAUUUACUUCUACGCUGAAUAAAACUCUGAGUUAUUUAAUUAUUAAAUACUCUACAUUAUGCUACAUAAUCUUUGUAUUAUUCUUUUACAGCUCUGAAACUACUCGGUGUGCCCUCCCGUUGCCCGACCAACCUCUUUGGCUUGGGACGGGAGGCGACUCAGCGUGCUUUCGUGGCUCAGCCGACUCCCAGGCUCGAGGGCUAGGUACCACAGAAGACUCGGCAUGCCUCCCGUUGCCCGGACGACCUCUCUAGCUUGGGGCGGGAGGCGACUUGGCGUGCUUCCGUUGCUCACCUGGCUCCCAAGCUCGGGGGAUGGGCGCCACAGACGACUCGCAUGCUUCCAUGGUUCGGUCAGCUCCCAAACUCAAGGGCUAGGCGCCAUAGAUGACUCGGUGUGCCUCCCAUUGGCCGACCGACCUCUCUUGCUCGAGGCAGGAGAUGAUCUGGCGUACUUCCACAACUCGGCCGGCUCCCAGGCUCGGGGGCUGGGUGCCUUACUUUGGUCGGCAUCCCUCCUUGGCUCUGCUAGUCCUCACGCUCGGGGGCUAGGCACCACAUUGAGAUUGGCAUGCCUCCGUGGCUGCACCAGUCCUUGCGCUCAUAGGCUGGCCGCCUUACUUUGGUCGGUGUACCUCCUUGGCUCCGCCAAUCCUCGUGCUUGGGGCUGGGCAGGUCAGCAUGCUUCCUUGGCUCCGCUAGUCCUCGCGCUCGGGGGCUGGGCGCCUAUUUCAGGUCGGCGUACCUCCUUGGACCGAUCUUAAGCGCUGUACCAACUAUACGAAUUACAAGAUUCUAGACCCUUGGACCGAUUACUUUAAUCAUUUCAAGGCUCGGGGGCUACUCCAUAUGGAGUGCGUCUUGUGACGCCCUCCAUGUGCUUCUCUUCGACCUGCAGGAUGCCCAACAUUUUGAAGCUCGGCAGUUGCUGGCGUCACGCGCAUUUGGUCAACACUUGCUCAAAAUACAAUUCUUUCUUCUUUUUUAGCACUGCGCAGCCUCUCUGUCAUCAUGACAAAACUGCACCAUCAUCCGGAUACAUUGAAGACCUUGCUACACAUCCGUCAAGUUCUUAUUCGACUCCACAUUGCUCAGGAGCUUGAAGGAUACGGGUACUCACAGGCCCCACCGACUAGGAUACUAGUCGGCCUGACAAGUGGGCCCUACCUGCCCGUGGCGUGUGGGCCAAGGCAUGAAUACAUGUGGUGCACAAGCUCGAAGGCUAGGCGAAUGGAUUCUGCCCGAAUAUUGCGGGAAACACGUUGUAGUCCGACUCAGAUUGCUUUCCAUGUAACAACCGACUAGGAUUAGAUCCUAUCUGACUGUAACCCUAGGUCGUCAGCCUAUAUAAGGUGGCAAAGGGCGCCCCCAAGGGCACGUUAACUCUUUGCACCAGCAAUCAACAAUACAAUCCACCAGAACACAGGAUGUAGGGUAUUACUCUCCGGAGGCCCGAACCUGUCUAAAUCUUGCGUCUCUGUGUUACCAUUCGAGUUCUUAGUCUUGCGAUCUCUCCCGCCUACAAAUCUACCACCUGGGUAACCCCCUGGUGGACUGCCGGUCACUAAAUCCGACACUAUAUUAAAAAAUAUUUAUGAAUUUUUCAUCAUUAUUUUUUAAUAAUUUGUUAUCUCAAGGAUAACUUUAAUUAUUAAAUAUUCUACCCUAUCAAAAUAAUCAUAAAAAAUUUAUGAUAUAUUUUUCUAACAUGUUUUAUGAUGUCUGCUAUCAUCUCGCAAAAUUUGAACUUAAUACUCCACUUGUGCGUGGAGAAAAAAAAGAUAAAUUAUGUUAAGGGUAAAUUGAACCAGAUGUUAUAGUUUAGGGGUAAACUGAACCAAGAAAUACUUCUGGGGUUAUCCAAACUUUGGUUACACUUCAAGGGAGUAAUUUGGAUUUUUUUCUUUUAGUUUCAAUAUGCAGGAAAAAACUUGGUGACUCAUUACGCCGUAAAAGCAUCUGUGGAAAUGCCGGUCAAUUCCGAGGCUAGUCACACUUUUGGCACCGGCCCUCGAAAUAGUCACACUUUUGGCGAGGCUCAUUUAACAGAAAUACAGAAUGGUACUGGAAAAGCAUUUCCAUGGUGGAGCCGUAUAAGCUAACAAAUCAUGGAAACGAGUCAAUUUUUAGGACCGGUUCCAAAUGUAGCCCGUGCCUAGAAAUGGACGUAUUUUUAGGGCCCGUCGUCUAUACAGAUCCUUUCUAGCCAUAUAUUUACAGGGCUGGUCGGUAUGGAUGGAGUACACUGUAUACUACAUAUUGGUCUUACAGUUAAGCUCUCAGUGUAAUUUAGGGCUAGUUUGGCAGCCCACUUUCCUGCAGGAUUAUCAGCCUUUUCCCCGCGGAGGAAGCCCACUGUGACGACCGACCCCAAAUCUUUCAAGUUAAUCUUAAUCCGAGUCCCUGAUCUCCCUAUCUCAGUUUCCCCGAGUUGAGUGCUCACUCUCAGUUCUGGUCCCGACCCCUGAGAUCUGACCCCUCUCCGCUAGCCCCCAGUCCCGACCCCGCCGACCCCAACUCACCCGCCGGAUCCUUCUAAGUCUUCCCACAACACCUCCCCUCAAUCUGAGCAGUGGACCAACCGAGACUGACUGGUGGACCCACAAAAAUCUUUUCCCCAGAUCUCCCGUGACAGACGCACUCGAGUAGCAUGCCCGCUUCAGAGUUCCUCCGCCACGUGGCUCAACUUCUCCGACACCCGCCGCUCCACCCCGUCGCCGGUCACGACCGGAUGGAUUCUCGCGCCCCCUUCCCCAAUCGCAGCGGAAGCCCCCUUCAACCCUUUCUGCAGCGCCUCACCGCUCGCGCCCAUCAUCACCCCGUCGGACCCCCGGCUGCAAGGCUCGAUGCCUCCCGGCUUUUCCGCCGCCCCUCCACAGUCGCGCCGCCCCGGUACGUGCUACGCGACGAUUCCUCCUCCGCCAACCCUGACCCCGGCCGCGACAGUCCCUUUCCCACCUUGUCAGAGCUGCGCCCGACAGUCUGUUGCUUCACGCUCGUCCGCGCGACCGCAGCCCGCCUGUCUUCUCACCUGUGCGCCCUCGCUUCUAGCGCCGUUCCCUCGAUCACGUCCAUCAGAUCCGCCGCACGACGAUGCCCGCCUCCGCCAAAUCUCAACCACCGGCAAAACCGCUCCUGCGCCGCCCUGUCUCUGGUGCCCAAUGGCCAACGGUGUUUUCCCCGAAGUCCUGCUCCGCCGCACUGCUGCUCAAUCGCCGCCCCGGCAGCGCACUCCAUCAUUCUUCCCAGUCUUCGCGCCGCUCCAACCUUCUCUCUUCCGCGCAGCUAUAAAAGGGAAUACCAGAGCUCCGCUGGAGUCCCCUUCGCCAUCGCUGCCUUGCUGCCGUUCCUUUGCUUUGUGCUCAAAGCGCUACAGCCUAAAUCCCUGAGGAACUCUCCUCUCCACUCCACGCCCAUCCUUCCAAUCCGUCCAGCCGCUUGCUCCUCCGCGCUGCGCAAGAGCUUGCUUGUUUCCACAAGAAACGCCGCCGCCGGAGCACCACCGGGCAUCGCCUACCGAGUCUUAGUGCUCCAGUUCUUCCACCCAAGUCCGCUCCUUCCCGACCCCAAGCUCCACCUGUAAGACGAAGGUAAGCUGCCGACCCUUCUCCGCCUUGUCCGACCCCUUCUGUUCGUCCGACCCCUGUUCCGUCUCGUCCGACCCUGUCUGUUUCGCCGACCCUUCGUCCGCCUCGCCCGAGGGCUCGGCUGUAUCCUUUUCCCUGACCCGAGGGUAUAUGUGUAAAAAUCGGGGACUACUCUGCGUUAAGUCUGAGGACCCCCAGCACAUCUAUUCCUCUAGUCCAAGGGUCCGAUCAUAAGUUCCCUCCCAUCCGACCCUUAUAUCUUGAUCUCCACCAACUCAAGCGAACUUCCCCACCUUUUUCCGUAGCCAUGCUACAAAGUUUCUGGGCUAGAACUCGCAAGUGUUGCUGCUGAAAUAACCGUCUAAAUGCUAACUCUUACAUUGCAUUCGCGUAGAGCUGCGUCUCGCUGACAGCUUCUACGAGUUGCACCCGGUGCCAGAAGACGAAGUUGUAGCCGAGCUUCCGCUUCCCGAAGCCGAAGCCGCCCCAGCAGAAGACCCCUUCCCUUCCUCCUCGCUUGAAGGCAAGCCCCGGAGCAUGAACCCCAGUUUCCCAAACUUGCGCAUGCCUUCUGCUUCUUGUUUGUGCAUUUACGUAUAGGAGUUGUUUGCAACUGUAGAUGCAUGACUUAGUUCCCUGAUCUGAACACUAGUUGUUGGACCGAGUAGUUGCCAUGCUUAAAUAGGAAGCGGUAAAAGUUGAGUGAUCCCCUAUCACUCGCAAGUUGUAGGAGUUGAUUGUUUUCCUUCUGUCACAACUAUGAGGACGAUGGACGGGGUAGGGUUUUGGUUAACUCUUUGGUGGUUGGCUGAUCGCCCCGUCUAUCUAUGAAACUUGUUAAGGCCCGACAGUGGUGGUGUUCGUGAUCAAGUGUUUGAAAGUACUAACCUCAUACUUAUUAUGGGAUGAGGAAGCCGAGUACCGGAUUGAACCUAGACGUGAGCGGUCGCCCCAUUGUCCUUGGAACGGAGUUCCCCUGUGGCCGCACGUGGUGGCAAGUGUGGUCACAGGACGGCAGAGGCCGGGUCUGUGGAACAUUGCACCAAAGGAAAUGGGCCCGACACGGGUUAGAGGAUUGAUGGGGAAGGCCGACACAGGAAGCGACCCUCGGUGGUGCGUGGAUGUCGUGAGGUUAGGUUCACCAUGCAUGGUUAAAGAACUCGAAUCAAUUCGUCUGCCUCUCACAGUUUGAGACUGCUUGAUUGCUAUGCUACCCUGAGUAAGAAAGAAAUAUGAUGAUGACAUGGUUUUGAUGAUGUUAUAUAUAUACCUUUUGGUUGGUUCUAUGUUUGCUUAGAGUAAGUUGCUAACUUAGACCGGAUAAUGAACUUAGAACCUGAGCUAAAACUUAAAAAUAGGUAUCUACAUAGUGCUUUUGGCAAAUAAACCCCUCAGCCAAAGAGCCUUGCAUGUCUAGAAAGGUGGAGUAGCUUUACUCUUGUCGGUUAAGUCUUGUUGAGCUUAGUAGCUCAGCCUUGUUGUGGCUUUCUUUUUCAGGUGAAGUUGCUGCUCCCGAGCCUUCUUCCGUUGGCACUUGGCCGCCCCAACUCCCUCCGGGUUGGACGGUCGAGUGGGAUCCCUCCUCGGACGGUGAGGAGAGGGAUCACUGACGUCUUGGCUGGCCUCACCAGUGACGUCCGACCCCGGCGCUAGCUCUGCUGUUUUAUUUUCCGCUGCUUUUGAACUUGUAAAACUCUGAUGUUUGUUUUAUUGUCAAACUAAAAUGGCCAAAUUUGUUUAACUCAGUGGACUUGUUGUAUUCUCUGGAACCACUCACCUUCGUGUGGGUUUUGCUAAACUCAGUCCUGUCAAAGUGGUUAAAUCGGAGGAAAUCCGACGGCAUCUCGAGUUAGCCCGAUUAAGGCCGAGUGUCGCAUGUUAGGCGACUUAACCGUGCCUUGAUUUAGCUAAUCCGAGGUGGAUCCGCCACACCCACGUAGAAACCUUCCACGCAUGAUCUUUCCAACCCAUUUGGAAGCCUGCUGCGGGGAGUUCUCCAGCCCGAGCAAGCCCAACUAUCUGCGCGGAAAUGCACCCGACCUACUGAGGCCUGGUAUUUUUUCCCGUCAUGCCCUCGACUCGACUCCCCUAUCGCUCGACAGAUCGCCGCUGCCACAGUCACCGUGCGUGGCUGUUUUGCUCUCUCCUCCUCCAUUGCGCGCCCUUCACUGUGGUCUCCUCCACCACCUCCGCAUCAGGUAAGUCCUCCUCCACCAGCCUCUCCUUGCCCCCUACUUGCUACGCAUUCAAUCUGCGUCCAAUUCCUCCUAGGCUCCUCUCCUCUCCCUUUUCGAGUCUCUGUCGAAUUUUUAGCCUCGCUUCGGUUUCUUGUUCUUUGGGAGUAGGAUAAUAGUUACACUACCCCUGUUGGUUUCUGAUAGGAGCUCGGCUUGAAUUUUCAUCUGCGUCGAUCUUGUCCGUGUUGGUAGUAGUAGAUCCUUUCUACUAGCUGCGGCGUGCUCUGUUUCAUAUUCUUGCCGUUUCUUGUUCUAAUAACCUAUGGACGCAUUCAAUUUGGGUUCAAUUUUGCAAAAUGUGGGGGAAAAAGGUAGCUUCUGAAAUUGUUGUGCAAAAGCUGAGUAGGUGACAGGAUAUGUUGUGCUUCAGCUAAAUUUCUGCAGCACAUAUUAGAUCUCAGCAAAUGAUGUUUUCACCUAGUUGUGAAGUGUUUUGUGCAUCUUUACAAAUUUCAGUCCCCACAAUGUUCUUCUGCAUUAGGAUUAGUACCAGUAACAUUUAACUAUUAACUUCAGAGUAUUGCAGGUUUAAUUCCGCUGAACAUUUUUGCUAGAUCUAGCCUAGUCUCUCCACAAAACAGUUGUGUCUCAGAAGUUUAGGACAUUAGAAAAAAUGAUUUGAAUCCUAGCAUCAAAUUUAUCAAUUGCUAGAAAACAGAAAACAUGCUCUCCCAAGUAUGUUGGCACUUCACAAUGAUAUAUCAUAUGAGGACCCUAUUUUCUAUGAGGACCUACGAUGGUGUGUUCGUUUUCCUAUCAUUGGAUGUGUUCUUUUCUAAAAAAAGAUAUGGUCAAAAUAAUACCAUCUCUUUCAAUUUGUAUCUCUCAAAUUUCUAUGGAUGGAUAGAACUAUAUGAUUGUGGAUGGUACUGUGAUUGGUGCAUAUUUCAAUUAGAAUAGAAAUAGGAAAGAACACAAGCAAAAGACUGCCUUAAAUCUGAUAUAUGCUAGGUGCAUUCAUUUCCUAUUUUUUAUUACUAAGUAUAUGAUAAAUGUUUAGAUCAUUGUGCUAAUUAAGAAUAUGAUUUAUAUGUACAUACACUAGAUAAUGGGAUCUUGGCAGGAGCAAGUUAGGCAGUUCUUGUUGGAGGAGGAGGAAGAGGAUGAUGAGCUAUUUUUUGUACUUGUUCCUGCCAUAAUUUCGUACCUACAAGAAGAGAAAAUGCUUGUGCAUACAUCUUCUCUUCCUGGUACCAAAAAGGUUAAGGAAAUCCUUGAAGGGUACCCGAGUUGGUGUAAAGUUGAGUUCCGAAUGGAUCCUGAAAUAUUUAAAGCCACAACAGACUUUCUUAGAAGAGAGAAUUUGCUUCGUGACACACGAGGUGUUGCUGUUGAGGAGCAGCUUGGGAUGUUCAUGUUUAUGCUCUCACAUAAUGCUAGCAACCAAAGGCUACAGAAAGAUUUUCAACACAGCGGCGAGACGAUCCAUCAAAAAAUUACAGAAUAAUUCCUACCUUAACUCAUCGAUUUGUGAGACUUCCAAGUUUAUUUCAAACUCACAUCAGAAUCACGACGGAUCCUCAUUUUAUGUCUUUCUUUCAGGUCUGCAUAAUCCUUUCCCCAAUCUUUUCUUUCCUUGCAUGCCAAGUACUUAAUUUCUUUCCUUCUGUGCAGAAUUGCAUUGGUGCAAUCGAUGGCACUCAUAUACCAAUCACCAUUGCAGAGGACAAGGCCCCUCCCUACAAAAAUAGGAAAGGAAUCCUAUCACAUAAUGUUAUGUUAGCCUGCAACUUUGACCUUAACUUCACAUUCAUUUCAUGUGGAUAGGAAUGGUCAACAUCAGAUGCAAGAGUUCUUAGAUCUGUUGUUAGCAAAGGAUUUAUUGUACCAGAGGGAAAGUUCUAUCUUGUAAAUGGUGGGUACAAUACAUCAUCCUUUAUUACCCCAUAUCGAGGAGUUCGGUACCAUCUCAGUAAGUUUAGAAGGCGUUGUUCAUCUCAAAAUGGUUAUGCAAACUACAAAGAACUAUUUAACCAUUGCCAUUGCUUCGCAACCAUAUAGAGAGGGCCAUUGGUGUUCUAAAGAAGAGGUUUCCGAUUCUGAAAGUAGGCACUUUCCAUCCCAUAGAAAAUCAAAUCAAGAUUGCAGCUGUAGCAGUUGCAUUUCACAAUAUAAUUAGAGGGCAAAUGGUCAAGAGGGGUGGCUGGAUGACCAACCAGAGUAUAUCCCAACAGAUCAAUAUGUUGACGUGCCAGAAGGGGGCCGACAACUAUCCAAGUGAGGCAGAGUCAAACGAUGGCAGUACUCUAAGAGAUCAAAUCGCACACCAAAUGUGGGAUGCUUAUAAUAAUAAUAACUAGUUUAGAAUAAUAUCUUUUUAGAGAAGUAUGGUUCCUCUAGUUUGUGUAUGAUUUGCUUAUGUAAUUUUUGGAACUUUCUACUACAAACAUUAUUGUAAUUAGUGCCUUUCUUAAUGCAAUUGUUAUCUUUGUACUUGAAUUUCUUUUUUUUGAGACACCUAGAUCUUGCUUAUGUUUCUUUGUACUUCAUCUUAACAUGUUUUGGGAAAUGCAGCCAUGGCAGGAGAAGCUGAUAGGGCUGCUUGGAACUCCGCUUAUGAGAAAGGUCUUGUUGAAAUAUUACAUGACUACAAAGAUAACCCCAAAUAUAAAGGUCAAAAUGGUUGAAAGGGCUCGAAGAUUAUCACCAUCAAGUUCAAUGAGAAGUUUCCCGUAGCUCAUUUCACAAAGAAGCAGGUGCAGGAGAAGGAGAAGGAGCUCAAAGCUAAUUACAAGGCACUAAGAGAUGCUAAAAGAGACAGUGAUAAUGGUUGAAAUGAAUCUUUAUGUAUGAUACUAACGGAACCAAAAGUAUGGGAGAAGCUAAUUGCGGUAAGCCAUUUGGACUCUAUAUAAAAUAUGCUAAGAAGUAGCUAAGUUAUUGUUGUUAACUAAUUAUCCUUUUCUGUUACAUUCAAUAGAAUCACCCAAGAGUAGCAAAGUUUCGCAAAAAGCCAUUUUCCCUCUUUUACCAAUUGGAAUCACUAUAUGAAGGUGAAGUUCCCUCACUUGCAUAUCUUAAUUUGUUACUUUGAAACUCAUCUAAUCUGAGUUCCAAUUGUCUUCGUGAACUGGAAGUGUUGCUAUAGGAAAUCUAAACUUUACAUCAUCUGCACCUGCACCUUCUGCUCCUACUCCUGCACCUACUCUUGAUCUCCCUCCUCCAGCUCCUGCUCUCCCUCCUCCAGUUCCUAUUAAAAGAAGUAAAUUUGAACAAAGCCUUCAUGAUGAUCUCAAUCUCUAUGGUACAAAUCCCUUUGCCUCCAGUUUUGAUAUCCAAGAGACCUCGAGUGCAUGUAAUGAAAAUAAUGAAGCUCAAUCUGCCUCAUCAAAUCAAGAUUCAAGGUAGGAAGAAGGUGGAAAAAAGCAUAAGAAAAGUCACAUUGGAUCUGCUCUUGAGGGAUAUGUGGAGUACAAAAAUAGCCAAACCAGCACAACUUUGGAAGCUCUUGAAGAAAACAAAAGGCGUGAAGAAGAAUUUUCAGUUGAGAAAUGUGUUGAUCAAGUGGAUGCUAUGGUUGAAUUAACCAAUGAGGAGAAGUCAUAUGCUUUAGAUCUUUUUGAAUUUGAGACACUCAGGAAGACAUUCAUUACAACCAAGAAUCCUAAUGUUCGAUUACUGUGGCUAAAGCAAAAAAUCAUGUAUGUCUCUUUGAAUAUGCUCAGUGUAUGGUUAAUGAAAAACUUACUUGUCUCAUCAUGUUUAACCAUGUAAAAUUUUGCUUUGUGUGAACCUUCUGCUGCUGACAUGGCUAAAUUAUUUCACUUUUUUUGGUUAAUUGCAGAGCCCUUAUGGGAAGCACUACAUGAUCCGAGAGUCAGUUGCCAAGAUCCCAAAGGUAACUUAUGUGUUGUUUCUUUCAUGCUAAGUAUCAUAGCUUUUCCGUCAUGUCAGUUUUGCUACAGUUUGCUCCAUGUUUACUGAAAUGAUUAGUUCAUUUUUUCUGAACUUUUCAUAGACCAACUUAUUUGCUAAUUCUUGAUUUGUUCCAUUGAUCAUUGGUUGGUACAACAAGUUACUAUUAAUCAACUUGUGCUAGAUAUUACACUCUUGCUUUGUGUGAAUCUUCUGCUACUGACAUGGCUGAAUUAUUUAAAAAAAUUUAUUCUUUUGUUAACUGCAGUGCCCUUAGUGUAAGCACUACAUGAUCCUAGCAUCCUGUGGAUUGUCAAGAUCACUAAAUAAUGAGUAUCUAAAAGACCGAAACUUGAAUAUUUAAGUGACUGUGCAUGCAGAUUUCUAGUUACUUGUGACAUUUUUAAUAGGGACAGAUUGGAUUGCUAGUUCAGUUACCUAAGCUUCCUGAAAUUUAGUCACAAUGCAUAUAAGAAAAGUUAUACCCCGAGUUUGCUUGCUUCCUGACAAUGAGGAUCUUGUUACAUAAGCUUCCUAAAAGAUCUUGUGAUAGAUUUUCUUUUGACUGUGUUUUUGUGAUAGAUUGUUGUGAACCCUUGUGUAAGUAAUUCUGAACAAGUACAUUUGUUGCAAGAUUUUGUUUGCAUUGUCAUAGCAAAAUUAUUGUGAGCUAAGCUAAUCUGUUUGGUUUUAUUUUCGAGCUUAAGCUGAAGCCAUAUUUUGAUCUUGUCUUGUCUAGUACGAAACUCUUGCUUUGUGUGCUGCCAGUCUGCCACCUUCUACUGCUGACAUGGCUGAAUUAUUUCACAAUGUUGACUCUUUUUUGUUUACAUGCAGAGUCCUUGGUGGAAGCAAUACAUGAUCUAAGAAAAAUGAAGCAACUUGUGCUGAAUUGGCAUGCCAUUUACUAGUCCUUGAUGCUUGCACGUGUGUUCUUUAUAUGCUGAAGUGCGUGGUAUUGUGCCAUGAUAGCAGUUCUGAAAAUUUUUGAGUAUGUUGUGUAACAUAUGAGUUGCAUAGUGUGAAUCAUUUUAACCGUCUUUUCAUUUUGAGUAUGUUGGUGCUCGUCGAGAAGGGUUAAGCUUAUAUGUAAUAGCAUGUGCCUGUUACCCCCGAGGACCAUGGAGUAAUAUUCUGCUACUUUGGAUAAUAUCUUGAUAAUAUAUACAUUAAGCUUAUAUGGACUAGUAUAACAUCUGACACUCUGUGUCCAUUAAUCUUACAGAUAGUAUAUCCUUGUAUUCUAAAGGCAACUGGGUUAUAUUGUUGCUCUAUUUAUCUCCUGAUUAAAUGUUGCUUAUAUAUAUUAGUACAAAUACUGUUUACAAUUUCUCUAUUGCCACAUGCCACCCAACAGAAAAAUCUAGGCAAAUUAACACCAGCCAACAGAAAUCCCCAUAUGCUAAGCAAACACUAGCGGGGCUUCCAAAUAGCAGAGGGGCAUUUUUUAGGGGUAUCUUUUUCAGCGGGAUUCUGUUGUCCAUGGAAAUUCGCUUUCUUCCCUAGGGUUAGUUUGCUUCCACUGCCAAACUAAGCCUUACAGUUAAGCUCUCAGUUAAGCUAAUGUCUGGCGAAUGAGAUAGAUAUGCUUUUAGACUUCCACAAAGAAAAACUUAGAUGAAAAUCGAAUUAUAUCACAACGCCAUGCAUAUUUUACAUACGUACAUCAUAUAUGCACACGUCCCAUCCCUUUUGCUGGUUCUACGGGGCAUCUUGAGGUUGACAUCCCCGACCCAGAGCAGCCGUUGUUGUGGUCGCGUCCCUCUCAUCAGCAGCCCUGUGUGCCGGGCCGGUGGUGUGGGUGUGCGAUGUGGUGCCCCUCCCUGGCGCCCUUUUACACCCCCUGGCGCUGCCCCAAGGACGGGGCCCUCCUCCCCCCGUCUCUCUCCCCUCUACACUUUUAAAUACACCACACCCCUCCCUUCUCCCCUCAAGCACUGAACUCAAACGCGAUCCCCUGAUCUGGCCUCCUCCCUCCUCGUCUUCCUCCUCCCGCUCGCACUCCAGAGCCCCGAGCGAGGCUGCCGCCUGCAACGGCCGCGAGCACCAUGGUGAGUGUCCUGGCGCUUGUUGAUUGAGAUGCUCCUCCGGCUAAUCCUGCUUGGGCAUUUCUUUAUUUGCUCCAUCGUUGCCGCUGAUCCUUGGCUAUGGCUGAAGGCUGAUUUCUUUGCCAUGGUGGUCGUGCUCGUGACAGGAGGGCGGCGCGCGGGACGCGGAGCGGUGGGAGGGGUACGUGGACUGGCGGAACCGACCGGCGACGAGGGGCCGGCACGGCGGCAUGCUCGCGGCCUCCUUCGUGCUCGGUAAGCGAUCGAUCGGCGACGCACUCGCCACCCGCCGCUUUUGAUUCCAGAUUCUUCUAGAGCUCCGUCCGUGCGUCCCCCUCUACCGCCGAUUGCGCCCGGGCCCCGGCGGUAGGGGACCUGAUUGGGGGGGAAAGGCCUGCACGACGGAUCGAAUAGGAUACCGGCCUCCAUGCACGGACCCUCCUCUCCUCUGGCGCUCUGGCCUCUGCUCUGGCAGCAGAAGAAGUCCUCUGCAACCCUGAGACCCACGCCACGGCUUCCAUUUCCCUCUGGUUUCUUCUUCCUCCCCAUCCCUCCUUUUCAUGAUCGGGUUCCAGCUGCUUUUUGGACAAGUGGGUGCCCGAGACCCUUUCUUCCUCGCCUUGCCUCUUUCUCCCUCCCCCACUGGUGUCCGUUGGGCUCCAUUUCCCUCCCUCCUUUCGUUCCCUUUCACAUACAGUUUCCGUUGGCUCCGGCCGGGUGCUCUCUCUCUCUCAACUUGCCCGGGAAUUCGGCACCUUUAGCGCCCAAUUGCACCACGAACCCCCAAAGAAAAAGCAAGCGCAACUUGCAUGCGCUACUGCCUCUGCAUGACCCGUGCGUGCAAUUGGUGGACGGGUUCGUGAAGGUUUUUCCUUUUUUUCUGGGGGGUUCCAUGAGCAGCGGAGGAGCACUGCUCGCUCGCGUCCAUUGUUGAUCCAUCUUCUUCAGACCACCGGCUCACCAAACUGAUCGUGAGAGCUCGUGGCUGCGGCUGCCCUCGUUCCAAGGAAGGCUUCAUGUUGCUGUGAUCUGGAAGGCUCUGGCUGCAGACAAGCUCGGUUGCAUGUGUGAAGGGGAAACUAGUUCGUGUUGUCAUCGUCAUGAAUUCAGGAUCCUGGUGCGUGUGUUCGUGUAUGAGAGAGGCAGAGGCCCCUCUGUUUUUUCUUCUCUGGCGCGCGGUUGGAUUGGUAAUGGUUUCAACACUUCAACCGUUGUGGUUCAUCAGACAGACAAAAAAAAAAAUGACCCGGACUGCCGCCGGCCUGAAUCGUCCCAAAAAGCCCGCAUUAAAACGCGGCACGAAUCGCAAGGCACGAUGGGGUCGCGGAGUAAAUUUGGCCGGCCGGCCGGUACGCAUCGGGAACGCCACCCAGCCGCACAUCAGGGCGUUAGUCAGUUACGCCGCACAUGGUUUUGCUUUGCUUACGUAAUUUUUUUUAUUCAACCAAUUCGUCGAAUUUGCUUUUUAAAAAAAUGGGGGAAAAGUUAUGCUACUUUACAGGAUUAUAUAAUUUGUAAUUUCCGCCUAAAUUAAUCACUUGCAAAAAAAAUUCAUGUUCCAAAUGGCUUGCUUAGUACCCCUUCUAUUUUAAAUUGUAUUGUUUUGUACCCCUUCUAUUUCAAAUUGUAUCGAUUUGAUUUUUCUAAGUUCAUAGAUACUAUGUCUGUAUACAUAAUAAUAUUUAUAAAUUUAAAAAUUUCAAAACAAUCUAUAAUUUAAAACGAAGGAAGUAAUAACCUGAUAACCUGAUGGUAUUUGUUGGUUAAAAUUAUGCUCAUGGUAACUUACUGCAGUGGUGGAGGUGCUUGAGAACCUGGCGUUCCUGGCGAACGCGAGCAACCUGGUGACCUACCUGAUGCGGUUCAUGCACUACUCGCCGUCGCAGUCGGCGACGGCGGUGACCAACUUCAUGGGCACGGCGUUCCUGCUCGCGCUCCUCGGCGGCUUCCUCUCCGACGCCUUCUUCACCACCUACACCAUCUACAUCGUCAGCGCCUUCAUCGAGUUCACGGUAUGUCGUCUAUGCCAUCUUUGAUCUUGUUGCCUGCUAUAGUGCUAUUGCAAUACAAUGCAAAAUAGUACGAGCACACUGCACAUGCAAGUUCUUCCAUCGUCUUCUACCUCUGACUGACAUCACGCGACGAUCGACCAAAAAAUAUGUGAGUUAGUUGGUAGCAGAUGCUUCCGGAUCGGAUUGGAAAACAUAGCUCCAUGGUCCUCGCCGUAUCUCCACGCUGGCGUGGGAGGAAUAUACUAGCCGAUAUGAUUUGCAGCCCAGCUGUGUGCUUGACCUCCCACGUUGCACUCAUGAUCUGUUUUCUGCUGACGGGAUGCAUGGCUGUGGGUCAAGUAGAACAUCGCAGCUGCCUCUCAUGCAUCGAAGCCGGCCAAACAGCUAAUUAAGCUGACGAGGCAAACACGUGGCCUCUGGUUCAGCUGACACUCAAAGUCCUGUGAGAGACCGAGCUAGAGAGUCACUUUCAUCACCAAUCUCAAUGUGAUCAGAGAACGUAGCGUCCUGCGUGCGCCACGUCCAUGCAUCACAAAUUGCCUAGUGCCCGCACUCGCACACUCAGGUAGCCGUCCAUCUCGCAGUGGCCAAAUUAGAGCCUGCCAAGCUCAUGCACAAUUCCCUGCGAUUUGGGUUAAGCAGCUGAGAGCGCGGAUUGUAUUAGGGCCAAUGAUGAUUGGUAGCCAUCACUUUAUUCGACAACAAGACGAUAUGGGGGCCGAUUUGACUCGGUACCCUGGGUCAAAGGGAAGCUAAUCACACAUCUUGUUCAUACAUUGUGCUGUCACGUACAGCACCACCCUAUGUGGCUAUGGGCAGUGUAGCCGUGUAGGGCAUGGGCUUAACCGUGCCGUGCGUAGGGGCCUUGUUCGGGAAAUCAGUGGACCUCCCUCCUGUCGCUUUUAGAAAAGAACCGGCGGCGCAAGAACAUCCAUGUGAAACCCGUUACCGAUCGCAAAGGAUGGGCGUACUACGUACCCUACCCUCCUGCGUGUGCUAAUUUCUGUGUGGCAUGUUUUCUUUUCCUGCGUGUUAGGGAAUGACAUACUAUUCAUGUACUAUAUGUUUCCUUUUUUUUAAUUUUGGGCUGUUUUUUCACCUUGGCUCUGAAGCCUACAAAUAUCCCCUAAAUAUAUGUUAGACAUUGGAUGAGUAGGAUGGAUGUUGAUUUGUAGCGAGUAAAGUGACAUUUCUUUGUGGAUCACGUGGGUACUUCCUAGCAAGUUGAGCAGCAUAAUUGUACUUGCAAAAAAAAAAGACAAAAAACAGUCAUUUGCAUCAACAACCGUAAGAUGUAGGGCAAUGGCAACGGCUGAAGGCGAUGGAUGUUAAUAAUUUUUGUCACUACACAGACAAAAAGAAUACUAUAUUCCCUCUAAAUAUCAAUUCGGACACCAGUGCCCCGAAAACACACAAGUUGUUGUCAAUGUGACAAUGCAAUGCAUGUCAUCAACCUAAGAGCUUUUGUUUGGGCCGGGGUGCCGCCAGGUUCGCUUUUGGAACGCCGACAAGCUGUCGGCAUCUGGGACGCCGAGGUCCUAGGAGUGUUUGGAUACUUCAUGCUAAACUUUAGCAACAAAUUUGCCAAACAUCCUUACUAAACUUUGCUAUACUAUGGGUGCUAAACUUUAGCUCUUUAGCAACCAGCUAAACUUGGGGCUGGACACCCUUUGCCCUUCAUUAUUGUUUGUCUGGACCCUCUCUCCCCCCUCGCAUUAAAUAAGAGCAGAUAGAUCUUUCUACACCUCAUUAAAUGUUAUUUAACCCAUUAAUCCAAACAGCCCUGAUUAAAAUUUAGCACCUUAAAUUUAGCAAAGUUUAUGUGUGCUUGUGACACGGCGAUCUCAUCCCGUCCCCCACUCCGCACGAGAGGCCAAUCCCUGCGGCGGGGUCGGCAUGGGGAGAGGGAAUCUCCACCGCCAUGUCGCGCGCGCACGCUGUGAGUGUGAGGUGACCGACCUGCCCGCGCGACGCGUCCCGGCUCGUCUUUCUGCUCUGUUUUUGCAUCGGAGAAGCCAAGAUCGUGCGGUCGGGUCGUCUGAUAAUCCUUCGAUUGAUGACUGGUAGAUGGUAGGGACGUGAUGCUUUGAGAUGGAACCACGACGACGAUCCACGAACGGGUCGAGGAAGGAUCGGCGACAGGGACAGCUGGUAGGUAAUGAUCCUGGGCCGCUGGGCUGGAGCAAACAAACCGGGUGAGACUACGGCCGAACGUUCUGGAGGCUUUUUGCCGUGGUCCGUACCGAACCACCCCUGGCCAUCCCCACCAGACACGUAAAACUUAGAAUAUUUGUGAUCCGGGCACUUUACAUCGGAACGGCAUGAUUGAUCCUGAUCCGGACGCCUGGGGUUUCGUCCGUGUACGGCGCUAUGGUCAGCUUGCCAUGCCACGUCGCGACGCGGGGCAAAAAGCCAAUAGGCUCGCGUCUCGUUGCUGGGCACUGUGCCGGAGCUGCGGAGCAGCGGCAGCCGAAACCGCUGCUUCAGGGGCUGCCUGCGCGUGAGGACGGAUUUUUGCUGUUUCGGCCGGACGCGAGCCGCCGCGGGCCCGCGCGUAUCUCCAGCCUCGUCGGGAAGCUUCGGAGGGCCCUGCGCAGCCGGGAACGGGAAGAGGGAGGAAACGAUUGCGCGGGGCCGGAGCCCGGAGCCGGAGGGUUGGGGGACAGCGACGGGACGAGGGCGCGUCAGGUUCCCGUCUCCCGGACGCGCCGCGCGUCGGUUCUCGUUUACUCGGUUGCUCGGCGCCUGGGAUUCGGGCGAACCUGAGCGAGCCUGAUUCGAUCUGCUAGUGCUGGACACCAUAGUCCAUAGCACGACAGACCAGACUGUAUUUUUUUUAACACACAUUUUCUUUUUGAACGACGGUGUCUUUCUGGCCGGAAAAAACUACGUGGAACCAUUUUUUUUUUCAAAUUCAAAUUACACAUUACACACUCAGACACUCACAUAUACACAUGCACACUCAACCUCUACGAAUACAUAUGAAAUCCUACCCUUAGCACCUUGCUAUCGAAAUUAACAAAAUCAUUACUCGCACCUUAUUGUUGAUGGGCACGUCACCUGCCCACUCCUGGAAGUUUUAGUCAGCGCUGACAAAAAUAUAGUGCACAGAACUGGGCGCGGCCUCCUGGUCGAAUCGCCCGCCAUUUCCAUGGUUUUUGUCUGAACCCCGGCCGGACCCAUAUAUGGCUGGUCAAAGCGCUAACUGCAUGGGAUGGGACGGCGGCCACCGGGGGUCGGUCUCCUCCCCUGCUUUGGCGCCCCGGAUCACGGGCGCAAAGCGACGCUCGCGCACGGGCCGAGAGCCGGAGCAAGUAGCUCGCCCGCCGCCGCCACUUGCCCUCCUUGCCGCGCGUCCGUGCGCUUGCUUUUUGUCGCCGUCGCCUGAUAUUUACCCAAUCAUUCGACGUGAUAGACUCACGUCUCGUCACUUGACAUGAUGAUGUAUCUUCUCUGAAGUAAAAAUCCUGCAAAGAACUCGCGCACCAAAUCAUGACAAAAAAGGAAAAAAAAGCAAUGCAUGUAGAAUUUGGGCUCGGUCCAGAUACAAUGGGCCACACAUGGGCUGUGCAAUGUCUGACUGUUUCUUCCAUUAAAAUGUGUGUGCUAACUGCAAGUAAAUGUUUGAUGGCGCGCAGGGGCUGGUGAUCCUGUUGGUGCAGGCGCGGACGCCGUCGCUGAUGCCGCCGCAGUGCGCCAAGGCGCCGUGCGAGCCCGUGUCGGGCGCCAAGAAGGCGAUGCUGUUCGCGGGGCUGUACGUAACGGCGCUGGGCAUCGGCGGGAUCAAGGGCUCGCUGCCCUCCCACGGCGCGGAGCAGUUCGACGAGCACGCGCCGCGGGGCCGCAAGGGCCGCUCCACCUUCUUCAACUACUUCGUCUUCUGCCUCUCCGUCGGCGCGCUCAUCGCCGUCACCUUCGCCGUCUGGGUCGAGGACAACAAGGGGUGGCAAUGGGGGUUCGGCAUCUCCACCAUAGCCAUCCUCCUCUCCAUCCCGGUCUUCGCCGCGGGAUACGGGAUGUACCGGAACAAGGUGCCCACGGGGAGCCCGCUCACCACCAUCGCCAAGGUCCUCCUCGCGGCGGCUCUCGCGCGGCGCGGCGGAGCGCAGAGCGCCAGCAACGGCGCCGUCAUCGACCGGGCGCCCAGCCCCACGGGGAGCACCGACAUGAAGGAGUACUGCAAGACCGGCGAGAUGGGGGUCAUCUCCGACGCCGCCGCGGCCGCCGGUGAUGAGCCGGCCGAGCCGUCGCGGGAGCUCGCGUUCCUGAACCGCGCCGCGCAGUGCCAGGCGCCGCCGAACGGGCUGCUCGCGUGCACGGUGCAGGAGGUGGAGGACGUCAAGAUCGUGCUCAUGGUUCUGCCCAUCUUCUUCUCCACCAUCAUGCUCAACUGCUGCCUGGCGCAGCUGUCCACGUUCUCGGUCGAGCAGGCGGCCACCAUGGACACGCGGGUGGGCAAGCUCACCGUGCCGCCAGCGUCGCUCCCCGUGUUCCCGGUCACCUUCAUCAUCCUCCUCGCGCCCGUCUACGACCACGUCAUCAUCCCCUUCGCGCGCCGCGUGACGGGGACCGAGAUGGGCAUCAGCCACCUCCAGCGCAUCGGCACCGGGCUCGUCCUCUCCAUCGUCGCCAUGGCGGUGGCCGCCGUCGUCGAGGUGAAGCGCAAGAACGUUGCCGCCGACAACGGGAUGCUGGACUCGGCCAAGCCCCUGCCCAUCAGCUUCUUCUGGAUCGCGUUCCAGUACUUGUUCCUGGGGUCGGCGGACCUGUUCACGCUGGCGGGGCUGCUCGAGUUCUUCUUCAGCGAGGCGCCGUCGCGGAUGCGCUCGAUGGCGACGUCGCUGUCGUGGGCGUCGCUGGCGCUGGGAUACUACCUCAGCUCCGUGCUGGUGUCCAUCGUGAACAGCGCGACGGCGCACGGCGGGCACCGGCCGUGGCUGCAGGGUGCCAGCCUGAACCACUACCACCUGGAGCGGUUCUACUGGGUCAUGUGCGUGCUCAGCACCCUCAACUACCUCGUCUUCUUGUUCUGGGCCAUCAGGUACAAGUACAGAAACGCUGGGGUCAUCAAAGGGUAAUGCCAUUGUCAAAUAGGCAUUGCCGUUGAUCGGAUCGCCAUGGUAGCGAGAAGAGAACUGCUGGGUGUAACUGUUUAUAUUGGUGGCAAGGAGGGAGUCAAAAAAAGAAGUACUAGGUUCAUUUCUGCAGGAUGUGGGGAUUAUAUUGGUGGUGGUUAUGAGGCUGUCAUGAAUUUGGUUGAUUGGUUCAUCCACAAGUAAAUCAACAAGAGGUGGUUCAGUUAAUCUGAUGUCCAUUUGUUAGAAUCAAUCAAGCAUAGUUAAAUUUGCCAUUUGCAAAUCUCAAAGCAAAAACGAUUACCAACAUCAAUGUUAGUACUUGCAGCCUAUUGCAAAACUUGGCUUAAAAAUGAUCUAACAUGCUGACAAGAUUAACAUAGGUCAAUACUAACAUAUUUGUUAAUUUUUUUUUGAAGGGUAAACUGUGGGGGAGUUCCCCACAGCACUUCAUUUUCAUUUCAUAUAAAAGGGAUGCAAAAGAGAGUACAGGGGGUAUACUUACAGACGGGAGAGAGAAAUAUACAAGGUANNNNNNNNNNNNNNNNNNNNNNNNNNNNNNNNNNNNNNNNNNNNNNNNNNNNNNNNNNNNNNNNNNNNNNNNNNNNNNNNNNNNNNNNNNNNNNNNNNNNGACUAUGAAAUUCUUUGUUAUAUUUAUUUACGAAUAAGUGUGAAAUAGCUUAUUUCUUUUUCCCUUAUUAGGAAUUUACAAGUUUCAGCUAUUUAUCGGCCUACUCUAGAAAACUGAGUUUCAUCGAACUUGUACUUAUUUAAGCGAGAGAAAUAGCAACAAAGCUUUAACUUACAUAAAACCUAGCACUGCAAACUUUUAUUAGAAGAGAUUAGAGAGCUGUAGGAAAUGGAACCACAACUGGACUAAAGCUCCCAGCCCCAAUGAGGUUAUCAAAUGAAAAACCAUUAGUUGCGUGGGCCAAUUCAGCAUAAGAUACCCUCAUGUGUUGUUCACCAAUGACUGACCUUUGUUGGUUUGCUUUUAUUUUUUUAUUCUUUCUGUAUAAUGAAGACAGUGCAAAUUCUAAAAUGCAACAAAAACACAACCACUGCAUAUGGCAACUAUUAUGGCAAGUUUUUGCAAUGGUUUAUUCCUGGAGUGGUUAGAGCAGUGUGGCAAUUUCAGUUGAGGGUUACCACCACAAAGGCCAUCAUUUCCAGCAAUGGUUAGGUCAGAUGGUGUAUUGCUUAGCUAAUUGCUGCAGAUUAUGUUAAUAUUAACCUGCAAUUGCAGAUGUGGUAAGCUUUGUUAGUUAUGUUGGGAUGAAGAACUUCAGUUCCGUCCUAUGUUGAUACGAAGGUAUUCUUUGAAAUGGUUGUAAUACCUGUAAUUUUUUUUGUUGCAGGUUACUGUAAUGGAGACAGGAGGGUACGUUAGCCUGGAGGAAACUAAAGAAUAUAAGUGUAUUGUAGAUCAGACUUUCACGAGGGAGGAAGAUUUCUAUGAGUUUUACAAUGAUUAUGCAUACCAUAAAGGGUUCAGUAUCAGAAAGGGCAGAGUUAGGUACAAGACAGGUACCCAAGAGGUGAUAUGGAGAAGACUCAUGUGCUCCUGUGAAGGAUAUAGAUCUGUUAAGUACUUUGAAAGGAUGGAUCAAAAAAGACAGCCACGUGCCCUCACCCGUUGUGGAUGCACAGCUAGGCUUGAUGUGGAGUGGAGUGAAAGUAUUGGCAUCUGGUAUGUGAAGGACUUUGUGGAUGUCCAUACACAUGCCCUUGCAAAACCAGAGCAUGUUUUUAUUUUGCAAUCUCAUCGAGGGCUUAAUGAUCCUCAGAAAGCAGAGGCAGUAGAGCUGGGACUAGGUGGGCUGCGUCCCUUUCAGAUCAUGGAUGUAAUGGAGGCCAGCCACGGUGGUCCAGGGGAGACUGGAUUUCUUUCGCAGGACUUGUACAAUUUCUUUUCAAGGUACAAGAAGGGAAAGGUUGAAGGAAGUGAUGUAGAAUUUGUGUUGAAUCAUAUGCGUUAGAUGCAAGAGAAAGAUCCGGAGUUCUUUUUCACAUUUAGUGUGGAUGCACAAGGCAGGUUGAAGAAUCUAUUUUGGUCGGAUGCAUAGUCGCAGAUAGACUAUGGUGUUUUCAGAGACGUCGUUGUAUUCGACAGCACUUACCGAGUGAACUGGUACAAUCUUCCGUUUGUCCCUUUUAUAGGAGUUAACCAUCAUUGAAGCACAGUUGUCUUUGGCUGCGGUAUUUUAUCGGAUGAAACUAUCUUGUCAUAUGUGUGGCUCCUCGAGGCUUUACUGGAGGCGAUGCACCAGAAGCAUCCAAAAUCCUUAAUCACUGAUGGGGACGCAUCGAUGAUGACAGCUAUUGAGAUUGUCAUGCCUGAUGCAGAUCACAGAUUGUGGAGUUGGCACAUAGAGCAGAACAUGCUGAAACGGUUCCGUGGUUCGAAGCUCAAGGAUUUCAGGAAGUUCAUAUACCAUGCAAUGGAGGAGGGUGAAUUUGAUAGGCUUUGGAGAGAGUUUAGAGGUACCCAUAAUAUCAAAGAAGAUAACCUAUGGGUAAAUAGGAUGUACAAACUAGAAGGAAGUGGGCUGCCACGUUCACAAGAGGGAGACAUUUCUUGGGCAUGCAAAACAAUCAGAGGAGCGAGAGUCUGAACUCAAGGCUUCACAACCAUUUAGACCGAAAGAUGUCCUUGGUUGAUUUAAUGGAGCAUUAUGAGUUUUGCCUAUCACGCAUUCGUCGGAAUGAGAUUGAGCUUGAUGCGAAGGCUCUAUGUUCUAUCCCAUUCACUAAGAUUUCUGCUGAUGUUCUUGAGAAAAGUGCCGCGCAGAUCUUCACACCAACUAUUUUUCAGAAAGUGAGCUUCCAGAUAAGAAAAUCAAGUAAUUGGUCGGUGACAGAGGUGACAUUGCAGAAUGGGUGUUUGAGGUAUGAGGUUUCAUUGCAAGGCAACAACAAGCGUUGGUUUCACGUGACUUGUACCUUUGGGGUCAUCGUUGGUUGAUGCUAGAUGCCAUUGCCGGAAGCUGGAGCGGGAAGGAAUUCCAUGUGCGCAUACUUUCUGUGUCAUGAAGUAUUCUCGUAUAGAGAGCAUCCCUUCUUGUUGUGUUUUCGUGAGGUGGACUAUGAAUACGAAGAGUGCUUUCCCAACGGAGAUGCGUACCAACACGCAUGUUUGGACUAAACAAAUGGAUCGUUACCAUUCCCUUCGCUCAAAGGGCAAUCGUGCUUUAUUCAAAGUUUCUAGGAGCCAAGGUGAGACGGAGAGGGUAAUGAAGUUACUUGAUGAUAUUUUGAAAGAAGACACGCAGGAGCAAGGGAUGGAAGAGGAAACGACAUUUGGGCCUUUGCCGGCUCAUUUCUCAGCAGUCAACCAGCCAGGUGGCACCAAAGUACUUGAUCCGGUGAAGAUUGUUUCGAAAGGUGCUCUGCGAUCCAACAAGAGGUGGAAGGCAAGCCAUGAAUUCUGGGGACCUGUUUGAAAAUGUGCAGGUUAGAUAGUUAAGUUUUUUAUUUAUGCCAUCAGGCACGCAGGUGUUUGGGAAGAAGUCCUCUUACUUUUUGUGUUGUUCGCCUAAAAUCUUGGACAAUCUUGUUUUUCUUUAUUGCUCAAAAUGAAAAAUUUAUUGCUCAGAUCACAAUGAGAAUAAUUGCAUAUGAUGAGUUUGGAUAAUCUAAAGUUAUUCACUUAUUCUUGAAUGCUGAAAAGGACAUUGUGAUGGGCUUCAUCCUUUACGUUUUAUUCAGGCAGUUCACAUGCAGAUACGAUGCUUGGCUUGAGUUGUAUAUUCGCAUUUACGAAGAUUGUCUAUGCAUUAACUUCUUCGUUUUACAUGAAUAGUGGCUAGCUCAAUAAGAUACCUUAUAUCUCCUAUAAACUUAGGUAGUUUUAAUACUCAUGAUUGUAGCUUAAUUGAUAUGGAAAUGUCUUUUUUUCCUACAGGAUGUAUUGGACAGUCUAGAAUUUGCAAGGGGGAGUGCAGAUUCAACAUGGGGCUCUGUUCGUGCUGCAAUGGGGCACCCUGAACCAUUCCCAGUGAAAUAUGUUGCAAUUGGAAAUGAAGAUUGUGGGAAAAAAUUUUACCGCGGUAAAUUUAUCAACUACAUAUAUGUUGCAUCCUUUGUGGAGUUUAAGUCAAAAUGGUCUUGUGCACAAGGGCUUCCUGAAUCCCAAUGUCCUUUUACCAGCACAGAAAAAGUUGAACAUGAUUCCCAGUGGUAGUUGACAAGGGAAAUACUUCACCUACAAUCUUUUUUAUUGAU
RNAcentral lists this long non-coding RNA (46436 nucleotides) under Setaria italica (foxtail millet). RNAcentral's name for it is "long non-coding RNA (SITA_LNC003251)". Lineage: Eukaryota; Viridiplantae; Streptophyta; Magnoliopsida; Poales; Poaceae. The record is from RNAcentral.